GACAAGGAGGGACUUUAAAUCCCCAAAGCAACCACUUCACAAGUAAAAUAUUUAAGGGGUCCCAUAUAUAUGUACAAAUAUAUAUAACAUAUAUAUAUACAGAAUUAUUGUCGAGGCUAACGGGGUCCCUUGACCCCUCAACCUACAACGUAGGUCCGCCUCUGGUUGUAUGACUGUCAAAGUGCCACCUCCUCCACAAUUAAUACCGAAAAUACCAGCUAAUAUUUAAUUUGGACUAAGUCCUCGAUUAGUUAAUCGCUUAUAAAUAGAGCAAUACUAGGGUAACAUUCACAGAACGUAAUUGUAUCAAGCAUCACCCACUUUCUCAAUCAACAUCAUUUUCAUACUACAUUUGAUCCUCUUCACAAACUGUGCCACCCAAACUCAUGGCGGAGGAGAAGCAUCACCACCACCUCUUCCACCACAAGGACAAGGAGGAAGAAGGCGGCCCCGUCGAUUACGAAAAGGAAAUGAAACACCAUAAGCAUCUUGAGGAAAUUGGUGAACUUGGCACUGCUGCUGCUGGUGUCUACGCAUUGGUAAAUAUAAUGUUUUUAUAUACUUGAGAGACAGUUUUCAUAAAAUUAUUUUAUUCUAUUUAAAUUGUAUCUGAUCAUGGAAGAUUAUUUUUCUCUGAAGUUUUUUCUGUCGUGAACGUGUUAGAUUGGUCAUCAUCAUGUGCUUAUGAUCUAAAGAACAAGAAUUAUCGAUAAUAUACGUCGUCUAACAAAUGUUCGCUGCUUUCAUUCCCAAAUUAUUGUCACAAUAUUGUUGGAUUGCCAGAAAAAAAGGGUUUUUACUUGCCAAUUAUUAUUUACUCUAGUGCAAAAGAAAAACACAAUUCGCAGAUAGAAUAUAUUUUUCUUCUUCUUUGUGUUGUAUUUAAUUUGUUGAUACGUAAGAGAGGAGUGUGAAAAAGCGAAGAAAAACAUAAAAGGAUCAUUUUGUAGAAGACUAGGACAACUUACACGUUCUAGCCAGAGACGGACCUAGGAUUUGAAAGUGACGGGAAGCACAAGAGUCGAAUGUUCAACUAGUGCCCCAUCAGACUUUUGAUCUUAAUAAUUUCAAGCAAAAUAUAUGACCAUUUUCAACACACAUAUAUAUAUAUAUAUAUCCAAAAAGUUUAAUUUGCUGAUGUUAACGGCGUCCAGUGACCCCAUCACUCAAUACAUAGGUUCGUCUUUGGUUCUGGCACUGGCAAUUAUACAAUACAAAUUAAGUUAAUUUACAACAAUAGGUAGAUCUCAUAUCAAGUUUGAUAUAGUAACAUGUAUAUUAAAUUAGAGUAAUAACGUUGCACUAAUAGUAUUUUUUUACGUAGUGUAUAUAACUUAAAAUUCGUUGUAAAAGGAUAAUUUUUCAAAGGAAUUAAAGUUUCUACCUUUUAUAAUUACAAAAUAAAAUGUAGUUAAAUGCUGAUAUUAGUUAGCUCAUAGUAGUAGUUUAAAGCGUCAACUCCCACCAUCACGUAUGUCACUCUACAUAUAUUAUACUAACUAAUUUUUGAAAUUUGUCCACGCCAAUAUUAACUUUUCUUUGUAAUUUUCCUAUUGUUUUGGUGAUAAACAUUAAUAUAGCAUGAGAAACAUGAAGCAAAGAAAGAUCCAGAGCAUGCACACAAACACAAGAUAGAGGAAGAGAUAGCAGCAGCUGCUGCAGUUGGAGCUGGUGGAUAUGCAUUCCAUGAGCACCUUGACAAGAAGGAUGCUAAGAAAGAAGAAAAAGAAGCUGAGGGAGGAAAGCACCACCACCACCACCAUUUCUAAAUUACAUUGGUUUUGGACCUUUAAAUCUGCUGUGAAUUCAUUUCCCUUUCCUUAUAAUUGUGUUUUUCUACUGUAAUGUUCUCUAGUAGAUAUAUGCUUCCAUAAAUAAUCAUAUGUGUUUUUUUACUUUCCUAGCAAUUCUCUGUUGAACUACGUACCUUGUAUAUAGUUGCUUUUCUGAAUGGCGUAAUAAAUGGGUAUACCGUGCCUAUGAGCAUUUGUUUAUCGUUUAACUAGUUAGUACAAUAAUUUAUAACUUAUCACUUAUACUAAUAACGUAAAGAAUUUUUUUUAUAGACUUAUGUAACUAUUAAUUGGUCUAAUUUAAUUUGUUGCAGUACGUAGGUUCCGUUUUUCAGGGAACUAGAGCUAGUUUGACUUACUAUGAGCAGUUAUUCAUAAGUGAGAUGAUAGUGUAAUUUUCUUUUUACAAAUACAAAAGUUAAACUCACUAAUACAACUAUCAAUCUUUUGGUUUCUUUGUCAAAACGGAAAUGAAUUUCUAAUGUAAAGUUCGUUUCAUCAACUCUUUUCAAUCUGACAUCGGGAAUUAUAACUAGUUAUUUCAAUCCAAAUGUUCAUAAAAUCCUAAAUGCAUAGGUUACUUGAAACUCGGAAAUGUCUCAACUAAACUAACAGCAUUUCAAAAAGACAAACAGAUAGUCAUUCAAUAGCUAAAACUUCUAACUAAUUACUCCCUUUGUUCACUUUUACUUAUCCAUUAUUAACUGUGCACAUCCCCUAAAAAAUUAAAUAAUGUACAUAAUUACCAUGAUACACAUAUUAAUUGGUAUAUAAUCUUAAUAGAUUUGAAAAUGAUUUGGAAUGAGUAAUUAAUGUUAAGGACAAAACAGAAAAAAUAAAUUAUUUUUCUCUUGAUAGGCGAAAAGUGGCAAGUAAAAAUAAAAAUUUAUUUUUAGAAUAUUUGACAACUAAAAAUGAACAGAGGAAGUAUAUGUAUGCCGUCAGGAUGAAUGUCUGUUACAUAGGAAACUCGAGAAACUCGGAAACACCUGCUUCAGCUCAACUAAGAAUAAAUUAUUCGAAAGCAUAAUACAAUAGCUAAUUACUGAUAUUUGGCUUAAAGUGUGUAUAUUUAUAUACAUAUUGUCUCACAUUUUACUCAUAUUUCGUGGAUUUUUGAAUGUGCAAUGUAAUGAUUUUAAUUCGUGGUAUUUUUACGUGUAGGAGGCACUUGAGACAAUGUGGAACGAAAGUGCAUGAAUCGAAGCAAAAAGAGAACAAAAGACGAAAUUCGAACAGUGUAGCGCCCAGGGUAACGUGGGGCGCUACCUGGGGUGCAACUUCUAUGUGCGGCGCCCACGCUACUCUGAGCGUUGGGUGACAAGUUUCACUCCUAUUUCAUCUGGGACAAGGUUAUUCCGACCCUACACGCCCCCAACUCGUAUAGAAAGAAGUCUAAAGCUAAUUUGGAGGAUAUCUAACAUAUUUUUGGGAAGAGAACACGCCACUUUGGAGGGGAGAAUCCAAACCACGCUUGGGAGGAGGCUUCUAACUAGUUUUUCUUCUCUUCUCUUCCUUUAAUUCCAUAGUUUAUUAGUUCUAGAGUUGUGGGUGCUACAUGAACAUUGUAGUUUGAAGCUUGAAUUGUUCUUACUAUUUUAUAAUAUUGGUUUAUUUAUUCAGUUUUGCACUUAAUUAUUUAAUUUCUUGAUCAUCAAUUGAAUACUAUCUACGAAUCUAGGAUUGAACUCGAGGGAGGGAAUUCUAGAUUGCAUAGAAGAUUGAGUAGAGCGAGAUAUUGAACCUGAGUAUCGGGAAUGGAUUUACGGUUAGGACAAGAAUAUACCAAAUUGCCUUUCUUGGUUAUUAUACAGGAAUUAUAAAUGCAUUCUUGUUAAUCCUAAUUCCAUAGGAUUAUACGCAUUAGGUUAGCUUGAAUAGGUGAGUAGUACUUUGGAAGAAAACUACGAGUAACAUUAAUCAUGUCAAUCAAUAAACCAGAUAAAUUAAUUAGAUAAUUAGAGUGGAAGACUCAACGGGAUUGUUAGCUAACCCAUAACUCUAGAAUAUCGGCUCCCAUUGAAUUCAUGUCUAAUUUUGCCAAUUUAUUUCCUUUAAACUCUUAAUUUACUACUCUAAAUUAGUUCUAAUUAAAUAAUCACACUUUAGGAAUCAUUUGAAUAGAUCAAUUACCUUAGUUUAAUUUAGUAAAUAGUUAAUCAUAAGUCAUUGUGGGUAUUUGAACUUAUAAUCCUAUAUUACUUGUCGACCACGUAUACUUGCGUGUGCGUUUGGGAUCAACAAGUAUUAUUUGGCGCCGUUGGCCAGAACUUGAAUGUUGACUACUUUACUACCUUUUACUUUAGUUGUUUAUUUCGUCAUGUCUAACGUUUCUUAUUGGUUGGUCUGAUCUUAAGAACUUUGAUUGAAUGCGAAGGGUCAAGAGCCAGGAUAGACUUCAAGUCUUUGACCCCAAACCUGAGAGAAUAUUUCAUAGGAUGUUGAGAGAAACAAGGGAUACAAAUAAUCUUUAGGCACUUAUUCAUUACCUUUGAAUAUGGAAGAAGAGAAACAUAUGGAUGUUCAGGAGUUGGCGAUGCGCAGAAUUGCUAAUGUCACCUCCAGCAUUGUAAAGCCCAUGAUCACUGGACACUUUGAGCUAAAAUAGAGCAUGAUCCAGUUACUACAUGCAAAUGGACAGUUUAUGGGUCGUCCCCUAUGAGAAUCUACAACAACACAUUCUGAACUUCUUGGAGAUUAGUGAUACCUAUAUCACUAACAUAGUCACUCUAUACUAUGUAAGGCUUACACUAUUCCUGUUUUCUCUGUUGGGGCGAAGCAAUGUGGUGGUUGAAGGCGGAAUCGACUAAUUCUAUUACAUCAUGGAAUGAUUUGGCAAAAAAAUAUUUGGCACGAUUCUUCCCUUCUUGCAAAACUGCAAAGAUCAAAAGUAAAAUAGUAGCCUUCAAAUAGAAGUAAGGCAAUCUUUAUAUUCAGCUUGGGAGAGGUUCAAGAGGAUGCUCAGAGAUUGUCCUCAUCACAACAACACAAAUGAAGUGUUGACUCAUACAUUCAUAGAAGGGCUACAUCCAGAUACAAAAAUUGUGGUGGACGUUGCAGCGAGAGGUCAAGUGUUGGAGAAAGGCUUUGAUGAAAUUUAUGCAUUAUUGAACAAAUUCUCCAAAAGUAAUCCUGAUUAGCAAGGAGAGAUGGGCAAACACACAGUUCAAAAAUCUGCUGGGGUCCUCGAGUUAGACACAGUUUCUGCAUUAUCAACACAGGUUGCCAUAUUGUCCUAUCAAGUUAAUAAGAUGACCCUGGUUAUUAAUAAGCAACAAGCCCAUCCAGUGCAGCAAGUUCAAAUAUUUUGUGAAGUAUGUGGAGAGGGACACACGAGUGACUUAUGCCCAACUAAUCUAGAGUUUGUAUGUUUUGUGGGUAAUGCAAAUCGGGGCCAGACAAAUCCGUAUGGAAACGCUUAUAAUCCUAACUAGAGGAACAACCCAAACUUUUCUUGGGGUGGAAAUCAAGGUGCUCAGUAGGGGUGUACAUGGACCGGGUUGGUUCGAUUUUUACCAAAACCAAACCAAACCAACUAUAUCGGUUUGGAUUGGUUCGGUUAUGUCGGGUUUUUCGGGUUUUUUUGUUAUAUGAAUAUUACUUCAAUCUUACUUUGUUAAAUUAUAGAUAAAACUUUAAUAAGUGAAUAUAUGUUUAGUAAAUAUGGAAAAAAUUGACAAACAUAUGAUCUAUUAAAAUAUUCUAAUGGAAGAAUUUUUUUAGUAACACAUGAUAGUUAUUUUCUUAGUCGUCUAACAAUAAUUUUUCGUUAAUUUAUGCUUUCAGGGUUAAUACAUGAGAAGAUCCCAAAUAUUUCUAUAUUUUCUAAAGAAAAUCACUAUAAACUCUUGAAAAUAUAAAUAAAAUUUAUAUAUUUAUAUGUCGGGUUGGUUAGGUUUUUUUAUUUGAUACCAAACCAAGUCAAACCAAACCUAGUCGGGGUUUUUAAUCAGUUUGGUUUGGUUUUUCGGUUUGGUACAGUUUUUCGGUUCGAUUUGAACACCCCUAGUGCUCAGAAUCAGUAUAGGCCACGAUACCCUCGGUAACAAUAUAGACCACCACAGGCUAAACAACCUACAAACUUGAGUCACAUUGAAGAGAUGAUAAAGAAAUUGAUGGCUGACCAGCGGGCCCACUUAGCAGCUAUUUGGAAUUUGGAGCGACAAAUGGGAAAACUUUCUAGUGCCCAAAAUACUCGACUAGUUGAGGCUCUUCCAAGCGACACUGAGGUUAAUCCUAAAGCAUAUAUUAAUGUCACAUUAUUGAGGAAUGGAAGACAAUUAGAAGAAGUCCCAUUAAAAAAGAGAAAGCAAGUGGCUUUUAAUGAAAAAUAGGCCACCAUAGAAGUGGAACAAGAAAUUGCAAGUGAGUCAGAAAAGCCAGUUAAAGAGGAGGUGGCAAAGAAACUCCAAUCACUACUUGUGAGGCCACCACCUCCGUUCCCUAAAAAAUUGUAGAAAGUGAAGGAUAAUGUUGCUUAUAUGAAGUUUCUUGAUAUAUUGAAGUAGGUACAAAUUAAUAUUUCGCUGGUAGACAUCUUGUAGAAAGUCCCAAAUACACAAAACAUAUUAAAUACAUAAUGGCAAAUAAGAGGAGGUUGGCCGAGUUUGAGACUGUGGCACUCACUGAAGAAUGUAGCUCAAUAAUUCAAAGCAAGAUACCUCAAAUAUUGAAGGAUCCAGGUAGUUUCACUAUCCAAAUCUCGAUUGAUAAGCACGCAAUAGGGCGAGCUUUGUGUGAUCUUGGGGCGAGCAUCAACUUGAUAUCGCUAUCUGUUUUCAAGCAGUUGGGAUUGGGUGAGCCGCACACAACUACAGUGAUUUUGUAGUUGGUUGAUCGCUCCCUUACUUAUCUAGAAAGGGUUAUUGAAUAUGUGUUAGUCCAAGUGGGUUCCUUUAUAUUCCCUGCUGAUUUUAUUAUCUUGGACUACGAGCCUGAUGAGGAAGUCCCAUUUAUUUUGAGGCGUCCAUUCUUAGCCACAAGUUAAGAAAUUAUUAAUGUGUGUGAAGGCAACAUGACAAUGCGAGUAGGUGAUCGAGUAGAGAUAUUCAAUGUUUAUGACGCACUUAAAUUCCAUGAUUUCUGUGCUGGAAAGUGAUGUGACUUCAUUGGUGCCUUAUAUGAGCCUUACAGACCCCCUUGAGGCCUUGAACGAGUUUUGAUGGGGGGUGAAGACGAAAGUGAAGAUGAGAUGAUGGAAGAAAUUGAGCAAGUCCUUAACAUGUCUUGCAAGUAUGUCCAUGGGCUUAGGAAAUUUGACAAGUUGGACAUACAUGUUACUCUGACCCCUCACUAUCUUUCGAAGAAGCUCCAAAUCUAGAGCUCAAGCCUCUUCCAGCGCACCUGCACUAUGCCUACUUGGGGAGUUCUAAAACAAUGCUAGUGAUUAUUUCAUCCAGCUAAACCAAUGUGCAAGAAGAAAAGCUGCUAAGAGUGAUUCGUGAGCACAAAAGAGCUAUUAGGUGGACAAUUAUUGAUAUCAAGGGAAUCAGUCCAUUAUUCUGCACGCAUAAAAUAUUUUUAGAAGAUGGACACCGCCCAAGUGUUGAGCAACAAAGGAGGUUGAAUCCUAUUAUGAAGGAGGUUGUGAAGACUGAAGAAAUUAAGUGGCUUGAUGCAGGUAUUAUCUUCCCUAUUUCUGAUAGCAAUUGAGUAAACCCAGUGCAGUGUGUGCCUAAAAAGGGAGGAUUACUGUGGUGGAAAACAAGAAAAAUGAGGUAAUUCCUACUCACACUGUGAUGGGGUGGAGAGUUUGCAUUGACUAUAGAAGGCUCAACAAGAAAAUCCACAAGGACCACUUUUCACUUCCAUUCGUUGACCAAAUGUUGGAUAGAUUAGCUGGGCAUAAAUAUUAUUGCUUCCUUGAUGGUUAUUUGGGGUACACCAGAUUGUCAUAUGCCCAGAGAAUCAGGAGAAAAUGACUUUCAUGUGCCCUUAUGGUACUUUUUCUUUCAAGAGAAUGUCAUUUGAUCUUUAUAAUAAAUCAGCCACUUUCCAGAGAUGCAUGACGGCCAUUUUCAAUCAUAUGGUGGAAAAAUAUGUAGAAUUGUUCCUGGAUAAUUUUUCAGUCUUUGGGUCUUCUUAUGAUGAUUUUUGACAAAUUUGGGCAAGGUGUUGGCACAUUAUGAAGAAAUAAAUUUUGUGCUAAAUUGGGAAAAGUGUCAUUUUAUGGUUCAAGAGAGCAUCGUGUUGGGUCAUAGAGUAUCAAAGAGUGGCAUUGAAGUUGAUAAGGUGAAGGUAGAGGCAGCUGCAAAAUUACCUCUACCCAUCUCUAUGAAGGGCGUUUGGAGUUUCUUAGGACACACAGGUUAUUAUAGACGCUUUAUUAAAAAAAAUUUCUAAAAUUGCUACUCCAUUUUGUAGGUUGCUUGAAAAGGAUGUGAUUUUCAAAUUUGAAGAAGCCUGCUUGAAGGAAUUCGAGGAGCUCAAAGAGAAGUUGGUGGCUUCCCCCAUUAUUAUGGCACCGGAUUGGUCCUUGUCAUUUGAACUCAUGUGCAAUGCAAGUGACCAUGCUAUUGGGGCAGCGUAGAGCCAGAGGAAGGAAAAUAUGUUUUACUCCAUAUUCUAUGCGAGUAAGACUCUUAAUGAUGCACAGUUGAAUUAAACCUCCACCGAGAAAGAGUUGUUGGAAGUUGUGUGGGCCUUUAAGAAAUUUCGGGCUUACUUGAUGGGAAUAAAAGUUAUAGUCCAUAUCACCAUGAAGCAAUCAAGUAUCUAUUUAUGAAAAAAGAAUCUAAGGAUAGAUUGAUGCGUUGGGUUUUAUUUUUACAUGAAUUUGAUGUAGAACUACGAGAUCUGAAAGGCACAUAAAACCAAGUGGUUACCACAUGUCAAGGCUAGAAAAUCAUGAGCACGUGGAGGAAGGUGGACAAAUUAAGGAGACAUUUACUAAUGAGCAACAUUUUUCCAUCACCCAGGAACCUGCCCCAUGGUAUGUGAAUUAUAUUGUGAGUGGGGUACUUCCUCCUGAAAUUUAAUUUGUGCUAGGAAGAGGUUUUUGCAUAAUGUGAACUUUUACUAUUGGGAUGAGCCAUUCUUGUAUAGUAUGCUGAUCAGUUGAUAUGGAGGUGCAUUCCUGAAAAGGAAGUGAAAUUAGUGUUGUAUGACUACCAUGCCUCACCUUAUGUGGGCCAUCUUGGAGGCAAUAGAACAACUGCAAAGGUGUUGCAGUCGGGGUUCUAUUGGCCAACAUUGUUCAAAGAUGCUCAUGCAUUUGUUAAGAAAUGCGACUAGUGUCAAAGGACUGGAAAAAUCAUGAGGAGGCAUGACAUGCCUUUGAAUAAUAUACUGGAGGUAGAGAUUUAUGAUGUGUGGGGCAUAUACUUCAUGGACCAUUCCCUUUAUCUAGAGGAAACAAGUAUAUUUUUCUAGCAAUGGACUAUGUGUCAAAAUGGGUGGAGACUAUCGUAUUGCCAACUAAUGAUGCCAAGGUGGUGGCCACUUUUGUGAAGAAGAACAUAUUCUCGAGAGUUGAGAUUCCACGUGACUUGAUUAGUGAUGAAGGAACACAUUUCUACAACUGGUUAUUGAAUAACCUUCUAGCCAAAUAUAAGGUCCGCCAAAGAGUUGCCACGAUAUAUCAUCCAUAAAUAAGUGGACAACCGAAGUGUCCAUCAGAGAAAUAAUGCAGAUAUAUAGUGAGUGUAAACAAGAAAGAUUGGGAUGCAAAGCUAGAUGAUUCCUUGUGGGCAUAUAGAAUAGCAUACAGAACACAAAUUGUGGCGUCUCCGUACAAGCUUGUGUAUGGGAAGGCAUGUCACUUGCCGGUUGAACUUGAACAUAAGGUGUAUUGGACAGUCAAGAAGUUGAAUAUGGACUUGGAAGCCGUGAGCGAGAAGAGGCUCUUGCAGUUGAAUGAGUUAGAUGAGUUCAGGCCACACUCCUAUGAAAAUGUUAAGCUUUACAAGGAGAAAACCAAAAGAUGGCAUGACUUGCGUAUCAAGUCGUGUCACUUUGAACCGGGCUAAAAGGUACUAUCAUUCAAUUUCAGGCUUAAGCUAUUUCCUAGAAAGUUAAAAUCGAGGUGGUCAGAUCCAUUUGUGGUGGUGAAAGUCACUCCUUAUGGUACAAUUGAGCUGCGUGUUUUAAACAGAGAAAGAAAUUUUUUGAUGAAUGAGCAAAGAGUCAAGUACUAUUGGGGACGUGUCAUUAAUCAUUAUAAGUCCAAAGUAAUACUCGCAGAUGAGUAAGCAAAGCCCUACGUCAUGCCACGACGUUAAAUCAGAUGCUUGUUGGGAGAAACCCAAUGUUUAUUACUUUCGUUGUUUAGUCUUUUCUCUUUUAGUUAAAGUAGAUUAGAGUUUUUCUUGUUUUCUUUGUUGUCAUAGAAAUCAUAGGUAGGAAUGAUGUGGGAUGUGUAUACCGAAUAUACUAAGUGCUCGGGAGAAUCGUGGAUUUCAUUAAAAAAAAUAGAAUUUCGGAAAACCAGCGGCCAGUGCUACCUGGGUCACACAAAACAUUCCACUUUUCCCCUCAAGCGCCAGGCCUAGCGUGACGCGGUUGGCUGGGGGUGGCAAGUAAGUUUUUUAAUUUUUAUUUUAUUUUAUUUAUGUUUCACCUUUUAAUUAACCCAUUACCCCUUGUCCCGACCCGAUUACCCAUUUUAAAUUACAUUAUAAGCCGUAUCCAUGACCCAUCCCCAAAUUAAAUUAAACAACUCUAAUUCCCCUCCCACUAUUUUCUCUCUCCCCGUUCUCUAUCUCUCAACCGAGUCUCUCUCUCUCUCUCUAUCUCCAUGCUUCUCUCUCUUCCUCAAGUUUUUCUUUCUCUCACACACACCACACAAGUAGGUUUCUUCUUCUCUAUCCUUUUUUGGUUUUGUUUUGUUUUGUAGUUGUUAACCCUAAGCCCCCAUCCCAAAUGACCCUCUUCACUACUUUCCCCAAAGUUCUUUAUAAAUUAAGUAUAUAGUGGCUAAUAGUUGGUGUGAAACUAAAAUUGUUCUUGAAAUUGGUUGUGAUUUUAUUCUACAAAGUAGUAAACUACAAUUUCCUCUACUUCGUUCAAAACUUAGGAGGGGUCAUCUCGGCAAGCAAAAGGAAAGUAGGUUACUGAUGGGUCAAGAAGCGCACCAUCGAGACUAUGGCCCCAAUUGGAUCUGGUUCGUGAGGAUGGUAUCCAGUGGUAUCAUAACUUUGAGCCAUAUGGGGGUAUGCCUCUGAAAUGGGGAUCAAUGUGACCACUUUGGAGAAGAAUUUCCCCGAUGUACUAGCCCAGUUAAGAGGUAUGAAGAUGGAUAAGUUCAUUGAGUGCCCAGGACAUACAUGGUAAGGGAGUUGUAUGCGAAUUGGAAUGAGCAUAGGUUCAUGUCAUGGGUCAUAGGGAAGGAAAUGCCAUUGCAAAAGUUUGUAAGGUGCCCAACCUAUACUGUUAUUCGUCAAACUCUAUGUGGCGUAAAUUCUAAUGCAAAAUGGACAAGGACAAUGGAUGAUACACACAAUGAGAUGAUUCGAUUUGAGAUUAACAAAACUGCCAAGGUGUGGCAGAACUUUCUGCAGGCUAGACUGAUGCCAGUGGAGUACAACAGAAAGGGCACUUGAGACAGAAGUGUGUUUGAUCAUUUUUUGAUGACUGAGAGACCCGUCAAUGUUGGUGAGAUUAUGUUGGGGGAGAUGGCUUGCACACGGUUUGGGCGGAAGAUAAAAAGGUUCUUCUUUGAUAAUCUAUUGAUGUAGUACACGCUCUUUUAUGAGGUACUUGAGUACCCUAGUUAUGAUGAGGUGGUUGAGGCUUUGAAGGGAUUGAUGGACAUCACUUAUAUAUUAGAGUCUACUUCCAAGUUGAUCCAGGUUGCACGAAAUGAGCACAUGAAAAUUUCAACAUAUAUCUAUAUGGCUCCCUAAACUUGAUAAUGAGCAAGAUGGGCAUGACAGAUGAGGAGCAUAUGCAUCUAUACAAUAAUCUGUCCAGUGCUUUAAAAGAAAUGUUGGGGAUUGCGCCUGCCAGUCCCAUUCACCCAUUGGACGAUGAAAACACCAACAAGGGCUAUGAUGAUAAAGAUGACCGAGAUGCUGAUGUUUUGGGGCCAGUGGCUUUGGUACCCCUUGGAGCAGAUGAUGAUGAUCCCGGAGCGUCGGUUGGUGGGCAUUCUAAGGAUGAAGGCUUCGAGUAUGACCCUAAUGGGUCCGAGUAGCAGGGAGUUCUUCUCUCUACAUUACUUUUUUUUUUUGAAUUUUUAUAUGCAUCGGGGAGUAUGCAUAAUAUAAGUGUGGGGUGAGGGAACUACUUUCUGAAGUAUACUUAUAUAAAACUAUUUUUAUUAGGUUUUUCCUUUAUAACUCGUAGUAGACAUAGUCUAGUUAGUUAGUAGUAGUCCGGCUUCAAGAAAAAAAUAAAAAAAAAUGGAAACAUAAAAAAAAUAAAAAAAAAAAGCUCGGACUUUUUUCGACAAUGGAUCUCUUGGAUAGCUUUCUUGAGGGAUUAAGGUCCGAUUAAAAAUACCAAAACGAUUUUCUUUUGUUUUUCUUAAAGAUUGUUAGGUAGUAUCCCGUGAUUAUUCUUUGGGCACCAGCUCUUUUUCAAGGGUGUAAUUUGAAUUUUGCUAUGGUUUUAUCUUUUUAGGAGUAAGAUAGGAAGAAAAGUGAGUUUCUCUAGAUACCUAUUGACAUGUUUGGUGUUGUCACAUUAGGCUAUGACAUGCGCUCUAUCUUCCUGUAAUAUUUGAUUUGAAAUGUGAUGCCUAACUAAUAUAAAUAACCUACUAUGUGACGUCUGUUCUUAGUUGUUUGACUUAUAUUUCACCUAGUGCAUUAUUGCUUAAAAUUUCUCAAUUAUAUGUGCUUGCUUGACUUGAGAGUUGAACAAAUCCGUCUUGAUUGAGUGAUGUGCAAAGUGUGUGAGAUGAUUUGGGGUAUUCUGUUCGAUCUUGUGUAGUCUAGAACUUGCCCUGUGUGUUAAUCAAAACGAAAUUAUUAAGUUGUGCUAGUAUAGGAGAUGAUGUAGGCAUUUAUUUGCUGAUCAUAGAUGUGCUUUUCACUUACAAAUAAAAUUUUCCUUUGCUAUCCCUUUGGGCAUAUAUAUCUUUUCUUUGGUACCCACAUUACAAGUUGUAUUCCUAUUUUGUUCUUAACUUGAGCUUGUUGAAUCUUUACCUCCGAAGGCACUGAGGCGCUAAAAUAAGUAAGUGAGAGAUUUGGGAAGUGCUUUCGAGUGGAACCAUGGAAAGGCCCAUAAGGUGCACUAAAGUUGUGAAAAUACCACUAGCCGAUGAAGCUUAAUGUAUGGAGUAUGUUUAAAAAAAAUAGAGAAAAUAAAAUUGCAAGAAAAAAUAUACAAUUAAUAUUGAUAGUCAAAAAAAAAAUACACACCUCUUAAUCUUAUUAAUUUUUGCUAGUGAGGAUGUAGAAGUACUAUAAUUGAAGAAGGGCUAUGUUGUCUAUGGUUUGUGGCGAAAGAAUUGGUUGCGACAAAUAUGUGCUCGAUUCUUGAGUGUAGUGAAUUAAUGUGCUUAGGACGAUUAUUCAUUAUUCCUAAAUAUAUCCUAUCCGUCCCUUAGCUUAAAUUACAACCCAUAAAGUCCUAAUUGAUCCUAGACUUGGCUAGCUUAGAUUAGUAGAAAUGUACACUACGAGCAAGCUUAUUGUACGACUACGGGAUGCACAUGAAAUUCUUUGUGAAAGUGAGCAACUUUUGUUCAAUUGUGUGAUGUUCUUAAAUUAUGUUCAAGGUUAUACUUGAAUGUGCAGACUAUUUCUAUAUUCACUCUCUUAUUUGUUGGUGAGGGCACAUGAUCUCGUGACAGAUUGGUGAUAUUGUAAACUUCUCUUGUUGGAUGAGUGCACGAGUUGAGGGUGCUUUGUGGUAAGGAGUCGGCUAUUGAGGUAGGGUAAUUAUGGAUAGGUUGUUUUAAUUGGUUGAAUAAACUUUCUUAUACAUGGGCAUGUUUAAAAUGGGAAGAAUGUAAAUUUCUUAUGUUCAUGCUUGAUUGCCGUUACCGAUCAUAGUGAAGGAUAGAGUGUAUGACUAAAAAUUGAAUUGCUCCUCCAUGGUUGAUAUGUACAUUGUUGGGGUGUAGUUAAUAGUCUUAUUGCUUGAGGGCGAGCAAGAGUCUAAGUGUGGGGUAUUGAUAUUCGGCUUAAAGUGUGUAUAACUAUAUGUAUAUUGCCUCGCAUUUUACUCAUGUUUCUGUCACGACCCUAAACCGGACUCGGUCGUGAUGGCGCCUCUCGUGAAGACAGGGCCAACCGACUAUUCCCAAUUCACUUGUUAAAGCAAUUAAAUAACAUAAAAGUAGUCUAAAACAUGAUAUAGCAAUACUAAGUAGCAGAUAAUGUCAAUAAAGUGCGAAAGUACAACCCAACACAGCCCUAACUGGGGUGUCACAAGUCACGAGCAUCUAUAAAACCUAAUACAAGUCUGAAAGAUCUACAACUAGUACAAAAGUCUGAUAUGAGAUAGAAAUGACAAAGAGGGAGAAACACGGGUCUGCGGACGUCAAGCAGCUACCUCGUGAACUUUGAAUGUCCACCGGGAGCUCUCAACUCGCACUGGCAGGAUCAGCAACGCCUGAAUCUGCACACAUGGUUGCAGGGAGUAAAGUGAGUACUCCAACUCAGUGAGUAACAAAUGUAAAUAACGACUGAAAGUAAGAAAACACAUAAGGCACAAGGCAUUCUAUAAUGAAGCAGUAAAACUAUUUAAAAGCAGUACAACAGUGGAAAGUCAAGUAAAAUCCUCUUUCAACAAAUAAAUAAGUAAUUGACAGGUAAUUAAUGUAGAGUAAACAAAUAGAAGUUCGCCCCUCGGGCACAGUAUCACUACAUCCGCCCCUCGAGCAACAUUUCAGAACAAUAACAGCCCACCGGGCUCAAUCUCACAUCACAAUGGGUACCCGUGCUCACUGGGGGUGUGCAUAUUCCUGCAGGGGCCCCUUACGGCCCAAACACAAUAUCAAGCCACCUCGUGGCAUCAUAAACAUGCUCUCGGCCUCAUAUCAAUAUCAACAAGCCACCUCAUGACAUACAUAUCUCAGGCCCUCAGCCUUGUAAUCAAAUCAGUGUAUCACUGCUGUGGUGUGCAGCCCGACCCAAAAGUAUCCUCACAACACAGGCCCUCGGCCUUACUCAGUCAAAAUCACAUAAGCCACUCGGGGAAUAGUAAAACAUGAUGCUCAGUCCCAAAUAUGAUUUAAAAUAUCAUUUAAGUCUUAAAACUGAGUAAACAUAGCUGAGUAUGAAAACAUUGGAAAAUAACAUGACUAAGUUCAAGUAUAAAGUCAAAGCAGUGAGGAAAUAGCAAUAAAAAUCCCCAUAGUCAUUCGGGACGGACCAAGUCACAAUCCCAAUAGUGCAUGACCCCACGCUCGNNNNNNNNNNNNNNNNNNNNNNNNNCCCUCAGAAUAUAAUUUAAAAAAUCAUUACUCACCUCGAACCGGCUAAAUCUCUAGCUCGCGACGCCUUUUCCCCUAGAAUCGACCUCCACACACGUCGAAUCUAUCCAAAAUCAGAACGAGUACCGCAACAUAUGCUAAGGGAACAAAGCCCAAGCGAAAACAAUCAACAAAGGGCACAAAUCCCGAAAUUACCAAAAACCGACCCCGGGCCCACAUCUCGAAAAUUAGAAAUUUUUAUAUCAAUAGAUUCCUCAUCUCCCCACGAGUUCAUACAUAUCAAAAGUUCCCAAAUCCGACCUCAAAUGGUCCUUCAAAUCCACAAUUAAAGGCCUAAGUUCUCAAGCCCUAGUUUUUCUCCCGGCCUUUUUUGAAUGCUUGAGCCUUAACCCAUUUGGAAAAUAACCGUUCAUGAAUAGUACGAAUUGAGCUUUAGUGGGUGCCCAUGGCAGGGGAACGACGAUGUCCAUUCUCCACUUCAUAAAUGCCCAGGGAGACAGGACCGAGUAGAGCAUUUCUCCCGGUGGAUAGAUCAUUGGAGCGUGUAUUUGGCACUCGUCGCAUUUUCAUAUGAGUUCCUUUGCAUCCUUGUCCAUUUCGGUCCAGUAGUAGCUGACCCUAAUUAGUUUCUGAACCAAGGAUUCUGCUCCUGAAUGGUUUCCGCACAUGCCUUCGUGAACUUCUCUCAUGGCAUAUUCAGUCUCUCCUAGUCCUAAUCAACUGGCUAGUGGGCCAAAGAAGAUCCUCCUAAACAAUGUCCCUUUGACCAAGCUAAAUACGGCAGCUUUAGCGCGCAGGGCUCUUGAUUCUUUGGGAUCUAAAGGCAAUUUUCUUGUCUUCAAGUAGUUUAUGUAUUUGUUUCUCCAAUCCCAAGUUAAACUUGUUGAGUUCACUUCGACGCAGCCUUCUUCUACCACCGAGUUCAUUAGCUGCACUACUGCUCCCGAAUUGGAUCUAUCGGAAUUGACUAACAACCACAAGUUAGCUAAUGCAUCAGCCUCACUAUUUUGAUCUCGGGGUACAUGUUGCAGGGUCCAUUCCCUGAAUUAGUGUUGGGUUACAUGCAAUUUGUCCAAGUACCUUCACAUCUGUUCUUCUUUUACUUCGAAUGUUUCGUUAACUUGAUUUACCACGAAGAGGGAGUCACACUUGACUUCAAUCACUUUGGCCCAAAAGCUUUUAGCCAAUUCUAGACCUACAAUCAUGGCCUUGUACUUGGUCUUCUUGUUAGUCAACUUCACAGUUCUAAUAGACUGCCUAAUUAUAUUCCCCAUGGGUGGUUUCAAUACAUUUGGACCCCUUCGCAUUGGAGGCACCAUCCGUAAAGAGGGUCCAGAUUCCCGAAGUAGUCCCCGAGAUUAGUAGUAGUUCUCUUUUGACUUCGGGUAUUAAAGUCGGCGUAAAAUCGGCCAUGAAAUGUGCUAAAAUCUGAGAUUUCAUGGUGGUUCAGAGUCGCUACUCGAUAUAAUACCCGCUAAUUUCCACGAUCCAUUUGGACAACUGAACCAAGAGCUCGGGCUUAUGCAUGAUAUUCCUCAGCGAAUUGCUCACGACACAUAUAGGGUGGCAUUGAAAGUACGACUUAAGAUUUCAAGAAAUGCUUAGCAAAGCGAGCGCUAAUUUUUUCAGGUUAGGAUAUCUUGAUUCGGCCUCACCUAGAGUUCUACUAACAUAGUAAAUAGGAAAUUGCAUACCUUCUUCCUCCCAGACUAAGAUGCCACUUACCGCCGCAUCGAAAACUUCCAAGUAGAGGUACAAUUAUUCAUCUGGCUUCGGAGUAUGCAGCAGGGGGGACUCGAUAGGUACCGUUUGAGUUCCUCCAAAGCUUGCUGGCAUUUUGGGGUCCAGGAAAAGUUGUUCUUCUUCUUUAAUAGUGAGAAUAAUCGAUGUCUCUUGUCCAAGGACUUCGAGAUGAAAUGGCCCAAGGCGGCUAUACACUCGGUUAGUCUUUGAACGACCUUGACAUUGUCCACCAUGGUGAUGUCUUCUACGGCAUUUAUUCUGUCGGGGUUGAUCUCGAUCCCUCGAUUGGAUACCAUGAACCUAAGGAAUUCGUCCGAUCCGACCCCGAAUGCACAUUUCUCCGGGUUCAACUUCAUAUUGUAUUGUUCACUAUGUCGAAGAACUCCUGCAAUGUUUCAAAUGGUCCUCUACUCGCCGGGACUUGACCAACAUAUUGUCAUUAUAAACUUCCAUUGAUUUCCCUAUUUGUUCUUCGAAUAUUCAUUUUACUAGGCGUUGAUUGGUGGAACCAACAUUCUUUAACCCAAACGACAUUACAUUAUAAUAGUAAGGGCCGAAUUUAUUGAUGAAAAAAGUCUUUUCUUGAUCGUCCAGGACCAUCCGAAUUUGGUUGUACCCGGAAUAGGCAUCGAGAAAGCUGAGUAUCUCAUGCCCGACUAUCGCGUCGAUCAUCCGAUCGAUGUUAGGCAAAGGGAAAGAUUGUUAGGGCAUGCUUUGUUUAGAACUUUGUAAUCUUCACAUGUUCUUAGCUUAUUCCCUAUUUUAGGCACUACCACUAUGUUGCCUAACCAGUGCAGGUAUUUAAAUUCCUGGAUGGAUCCUAUAUUAAGAAGUUUGGAUACCUCAUCCUUAACGAAUGCGUGCUUGAUCUCGGACUGUGGCCUUUUCUUCUGUUUAACUGGAUGGAACUUUACAUCCAAACGCAGCUUAUGAGUGGUUACCUCAGGUGAGAUCCCUAUCAUGUCGAGAUGGGACCAAGAGAAACAAUCUAUGUUAGAUUGAAGAUAAGCAAUAAGUUUUUUCCUGAGCUCGGUGGUUAACCCUGUGCCCAGGUAUACCUUUUGAUCUGGUAGGUUUUUGAUUAAUAUGACUUUCUCCAAUUCUUCAACCGUCGAUUUGGUGGCGUCGGUGUCAUUAGGAUCCAUGAACCCAGGACACCGUAAUUAUCAUCCUCGUCUACUCCUUGUUCCUCCAAUUCUCCCGAGGCUGACAUUAGUAAUUGCUAUUUAAUUUCUUCCUUUUUGGUCGGCUGCUCGUUCCUUGAUAUCGAAAUUGCGGGCAUCGAUAUUACCUCAUCGAUAGGGAGAAAAUCCUUUGCAGCUGGUUGUUCUCCAUAGACUUUCUUGACUCCUCUCUGUGUAGGGAAUUUCAAUGUCUGGUGCAAGGCCAAGGGUACUGCCCUCAUGUUGUGAACCCACGGCCUUACAAAUAGAGCGUUAUACCUCAUGUCCUGUUUGGUCACAUAGAACUUUGUCUCUUGGAUCAUCCCAGAUGUGUUUACUAGCAUGGUUAUCUCCCUUUUAGUGGUUUUGCAUACAAUCUUAAAUCCAUUCAACACCUAGAUUGCCGACACGAUUUGGUCCUGUAACCCCAGUUGCUCUACGACCCUUGAUCUAAUGAUGUUGCCGAGCUACCUGUAUCAAUAAACACACAUUUACUCGAGAUUUAUUAAUAAGUAUGGAUAUUACCAGUGCAUCAUCGUGAGGUUGCACGAUGCCCUCGGCAUCCUCGUUGCUGAACAAAAUGGUUCACUCCAGGACAUAAUAUCGGGUGUGUUUUUCUCUUGUGAUAGAUACUUUAGUGCACUUUAUGAUUGGUCCUUGGUGGACAUCCACUCCUCCAAUGAUCAUGUUGAUGGCGUGCUGAGGCAAAUCUUGUUCGAUGUGUUUGUUGGUGUCCCUGUUCAUGAAGUGGUUUUUUGCUCAAUCACUCAAGAAUUCUUGGAGGUGCCCGUUGUUGAAUAAUCGGGCAACUUCUUUUCGUAACUAUCGGCAAUCCUCGGACCUGUGACUAUGAGUGUCAUGAUACUUACACAUCAAGUUAGGAUCUCUUUGGGUAGGGUCAGACUGCCAUGGUCGGGGCCAUUUUGUCUCUUUAAUGUGCCCGAUGGCUGACACAAUGCUAGCAGCAUCAACAUUGAAGUUAUACUCUUAUAAUUUCAGUGCUUCCUUACUCUCGAGCAGCCUGGUGAAACCAUUUUUGCUCAUCAGACCUCAGCUACUAGGAACUCGAUUUCCUCUCUUCUCGUUCCUCGUGGGGUGGCGCCCGGAACCAUUUCCCCUUCGCUCCGCAUUAUAUGGUUGGUACCGAUCCCAGACUGUACUUGGCUCAUGAUCAACGACUUUCUUAGACCUAUCAUUGGCCCUAAUAGGGUAAAUACGCCCAAAAGAAGCCCUGAAUUGGUCGUCCUUGGCCCUGAUCUUUGACUGAUACUUGUUGUGGACGUUGGCUCAGGUCACCACCGAGUACUUUACCAAAUUUUGUUUUGGCUGUUGAGAGGCCAAGGAACUUCGGGGGUUAAGCCCCUGAGUGAAUUCUGGAACUGCCCAAUCAUUUGCAACCGCAGGCAGGUACAUCUGUUCCAUCUAGAACCUUGACACGAACUCCCUGAGCGUCUUGUUGUUUCUUUGAUUAACGUUGAAAAGGUAUGACUUCCUGGUCCCCACCUUGAUGGCCCUCGCUUGGGCUUUCAAGAAAGCAUCUGCAGCCAUAGCAAAUGAGUCAAUAGAAUUUGGGGGUAUGUUGUGGUACCAUAUCAUUGCUCCUUUGGACAAAGUCUACCCAAACUUCUUCAGUAACACCGACUCGAUUUCAUCAUCUUCCAAGUAAUUCCUCUUGAUUGCACACGUAUAGGAGGUCACAUGCUCGUUCGGAUCCAUGGUCCUGUUAUAUUUGGGGAUAUCAGGCAUAUGAUACCUCUUUGCGAUCGGCUUUGCUACUGCUCUCGAAGGGAAAAGUUUCUGAAUAAAUUUCUUGCAAUUCGGCCCCUUCAAUAUCGGGGGUACUCCCGGGAUUUGAUUGAUCAUGGAAUUGUAUGUUUCCUUCUUCUUGUCAUUAGUCUCAAUUUUCUUCUUACCUCACUCCACCCGCUUGGUUUAAGCUCCAAGAAAUUUCAUUAUCUUGGGAUUGACCCCGAGCUUGGCUUCACUUGGUCUCUUAGUGAUUUGUCCCUUUCUUCGGGUACUUUCCCGGGAUUAUUCGGGCUCGACCAUGUUGGGGGCGUGGCUUUGAUUCAAUAGCUGCGGUAUUGCCACCUGUUGGGCCUACAACAUUUCAAAGAUUAGCCGUAGGCUUACCUCAUCAAAUUCUCCUUUUGGCGCUUCUCCAUCUAUUGGUCGGGGGUCCCCCCGCGAAUACUAUUUUCGGGAUCAAUUGAAAAAUUGUCAUCGAUGGCCACCUGUGAGUUAGCAUCGACCGGAUCAACAACUAGGACACCGUUGGGAUUAGCAGGAGGCAUCUCAUUGCUAGGUACCAAAUUAUUAUUUUCGCCAUGAUGGCCAGACUCAGCAAUAACGUUCAAGUAGGCAGAUUGAGAGUUCGACAUUUUCGGGCUGACCUGAAAUUAAGACUUUAAAGAACAAGUGUAAAAUAGGGCGUGGUAUGGAGACUCGUAUGAAAUAACCACUAUUGUCCUUAGCCCCAUGGUGGGCGCUAAACUAUUUACCUUUAAAUUGGAUAACAAUUAAAUUUAUACAUGGUUUUAACAAUACGUGAUUUGAUUCAACACAUACAAUUAAGUAUACUUGAUAAAUGAAUUAAUGACGAAUCAAAUGAUCAAACCAAUUGUGAAGUUGUGUCCAAGCCUGAAAUUAGAUCAAACAAUGACCUCUUCCUCAUGGGAUCCUCGAUUCGAGCUCAGUAGUGAAUGAAGAACAGGUUAAGUGAACAAGAACUUUAACAGUAAUUAAAAUGCAAAAAAUGAAUUCGUAUUGCUUUGAUUCACUUGUUACAAGGUGUCUUAAAAAAGAAAAACUUCCCCUUUAUAUAGUAGGAGAGUUUCAUCCCCUAGUAUAAGUCUAGAAAAGGUAAAAAAAAAUCUCUCUUUCUCGUUAAUUACUUAUCUGUAACCGACAUUGAGCGAGAUCCACGUCGUGAUAUCCGAUUAGGUGCGAAUAUCAUGGCUGUCUAUCCAUAGUGUGUAAUCGUUUAUCAUGUUUCUCUAGGUCUUAGAACUUUUCCUAGGUCCGAGGUGCCUUGCUUUAUCAGGCCCGAUGAUGAGCACAUCAUUCACCUUUCAUGGAUCUCGAUACAAAGGGCUCAGAGCCUUGAUUUCAAUCUCAUGCGUUUAUGCCCAUGUUCUGUUUUCUUCAUAGGUAAAUCAGGGUAUAAAUUAUCCCCGAUUUUACCCCUAUACAACCUCAAUAUAGAAUCAGAUUAGUGUGUUAUACUCCCGUUCAUUUUUCUUAGUACCUGACACAAGCAAAAACCUGAUCAUCAUGUAGACCUCGUUUGUUUUCACUUACUUAAUGUCUGGAUCUGAAUCCUUUAGGCACAUCAAUUCUAGAGUUUAUGUUUGUUCUAUAUAUUUAUAAAUUAUUUUUGGUUACUAUUUCUUAGAAAUUAAACCAAGAUUAAUUAGUAUUCCUACAUCGUCUAGGAUUUGGUAUUUAUUAGUUUGUUUAAUUUAUGUCUAAUUAGGAUUCACAGCCAAAAUCAUGUAGGAAUAAAUUUUCUAGAUUUUAGUCAAAUUUGGAUUGUAGUAUUAUAAAUGGGGGUGAUACUACAUAUUUUCUAUUGCAGAGAGGUAACUACGAUGUAGAGAGAUUCAAGAGUUUAUGAGUUGUGAAAAAGCCUCCUAUCACAUUUUCUCCCUAGUUUGAUAAAUUUCUUCUAUAUAGCCUUUUGUUAAUUUUUUGCUUGUGCCUAAAUUAUUCUUCGAGAUAUUUUAAUCCUUCAAAUUGGUAUUAGAGCCUGUAUGAGAUCCUGUUUGAGCCGGUAUGAGAUCCAAAAACAUAUAUGGAUACUCUAUUACCUCAUUGUCCUGUUUUUGCGUUUGAUGGCAAAAUAAUUUUGAAACUUGGUAUCAACAAAUGAAGAAUUUUUUAAUGCUAUUGGAUUAUGGUCCACCAUUGAUGAAGAAUUUGAGGAACCCAGAAGGCACAAUGUUGGCGGGUAAUGCAGCUACACGAUUGGAGAAGAAGAGACAUUGAGAUUAUAAGGCACACUACUAUCUCAUCAUCAAGGUCGAAUUGAAUGUAUCCAAAAAAUAUUUGCAUGAAAUGACAUCAAAUGAGGCUUUGGAUAAUCUUGGUGAAGUCAUAUUGAAGAGUUGUUGACAUAAAAAAGAAGAAACUUCAAGAGUUUAGGAGUCAAUUUGAGUUGGCUUAUAAGAGACCAAUAGAGUAUGUCAAAGAAUUGUUGACAAGAAUUAAAGAAAUAGUCAAUGGUCUAAGGACCAAUGGAGAAGUACUGGAAGAAGUUAAUAUUGUUGAAAAAAAAUUGCAGUCUCUCAGUUUAAAAUUUAACAACGAGAAAGUUUUUCUUGAGGCUAUCAAAGAUCUUAGCACUCUCAAAUUUGAUGAUUUAGAAGGAGAAUUUGUGAUAUACGAGAGAUAACUGAAUCAACAGAAAGAUGAAAUAUUGGAGAAGGCAUCACAGGAAAAGGAUGAUCAACCAAAAGAAAAAGGCGACACAUCCAACAUGACGAAAAUAAAUUAAGAAGGCCAAAAUUCAGAAACAGAAGAGAAAAAAAAAGAUGGUACAUGUAAUUUUUAUUGUGAUAGUGAUUCUAUUGAAUGUGAAGGAAAGUAAAAUAAUAUUCAAAUUGAUCUGCCAAAAUUUUUUUCGGCUAUUAAAAACGAUGAUUUGGUUGCAAGGGAUGUUCGACCAAAAGUGGUUGAUAUUUCACAAGAAAUAUUCUUUGAUGGUAUUGAAGAUUAACCUAGUAAUGAAAUAAAUAAGAUGGGUCAUCAAGAGAAAGUUUUUAUUGAUCAAUCCAAGAUUAAGGUAGAAAUAACGAGGGAUUCAGAACUCAACAACGCACGAUUAUAGAUAUUGAAGAUGCAAUCAAUUUCAUACUAUUAUUUGAGAUUGCAUGUUUUAAGGAGCACGACUAAAUGUUUAUAGGUGGUAUUACUCUACAACCUAUAGAAUGGAAAAUUAAAGUUGAAUGGGUGUACAAGCCUAACUACAAGGUAACUGGAUAAACAGAUGAUUUCAAAGUAAAGAAAAAAUAUGUUGAUGAUAUUUUGAAGGAAUCUACCAUGAGUAAAAAUUAAAGUUAAUUAAAGAUGAUGAUCGUGAUUUUGUUGAUGCUACAUAAUUUAGGAAAUUGAUGGAGAGUCUAAGGUACUUGACUUCUACAAGGCCUGAUGUUACUCAUGGCAUGCUCAAGUUUGAAGAUCUUAGUUCAAGAGAGGUUGUUGGAAAUUAAACCAAGAUUAAUUAGUAUUCCUACGUCGUCUAGGAUUUUGUAUUUACUAGUUUAUUUAAUUUAUGUCUAAUUAGGAUUCAUAGCCAAAAUCAUGUAGGAAUAGGUUUUCUAGUUUCUAGUCAAAUUUGGAUAGUAGUAUUAUAAAUGGGGGUGCUACUACAUAUUUUCUAUUGUAGAGAGGUAACUAUGAUGUAAAGAGAUUCAAGAGUUUAUGAGUUGUGAAAAAGCCUCUUACCAUGUUCUCUCUCUAGUUUGUUAAUUUUUUCUGUAUAUCCUUUGUUAUUUUUGAUUUUGCUUGUGCCUAAAUCUUCGAAGUAUUUCAAUCCUUCAUUAUUGAAUGUAUACCCUAUGUUUUUCUAAAAUUUAGUCUCGCUCUCAAGAUUUGCAGACAAGUUCUCUUAUCCGUAUAAACAAUAUGAUGUCUAUCAUAAUAUAAAUGACUAGAUCUUAUCAUUCUUAUCUAUAAAAUAAAAAGAGGAAUGUUAACUUUUUUAAGGUAAGUGUUGCUGCCAAACGCAUGAACAAGUAUACAUGAUCGACAAGUAAUAUAGGAUUGUAAGUCCACAUAUCGUAACCACAAAGACUGGUGAUUAACUAUUUACUAAAUUAAACAAAGACAAUUGAUCUAUUCAAAUGAUUCUUAAAGUGUGAUAAUUAGAUCUAAUUUAGAGUAGUAAACUAAGAGAUUAAAGGAAACAAGUUGAUGAAAUUAGACACAAAUUCAACGGGAGCCGAUAUUCUAGAGCUAUGGGUUAGCUAACAAUCUCGUUGAUUCUUCCACUCAAAUUCUCUAAUUAAUUUAUUCAGUUUAUUGAUUGACAGAGUUAAUGUUACUCAUAGCAUUCUCUCAAAGUACUACUAGCCUAUUCAAGCUAACCUAACGCCUAUAUUCAUAUGAAAUUAAGAUUAACAAGAAUGCAUUAAUAAUUCAUGUAUAAUAACCAAGAAAGUUAAUUAGAUAUAUCCCUAUCCUAAACGCAAAUCUGUUACCGAUACUCAACUUCAAGAUCUUGCUCUACUCAAUCUUAAAACAAUCUAGAAUUCCCUCUCCCGAGUUAAAUCCUAGAUUCGUAGAUAUUAUUCAAUUUGUGAUCAAGCAAUCAAAUAAUGAAGCGCAAGAUUGAAUAAUAAACCAAAUGAUAAAAUAGUAAGAAUAGUUCAAGCUUCAAACUACAACGUUCAUGUAGCACCCACAACUCUAGAACUAAUGAACUAUGGUAUUAAAGGAAGAGAAGAGAAGAAAAACUAGCUAGAAGCCUCCUCCCAAGCGUGGUUUGCGUUUUCCCCUUCAAAGUGGCAUGUUCUCCUCCCAAAAAUAUGUUAGAUAUCCUCUAAAUUAGAUUUAGACUUCUUUUUAUACGAGUUGGGGGCAUGUAGGGCCAGAAUAACAUUGUCCCGGGCGAAAUAAGAGUGAAAUCCAUCACCUAGCGCCCAGGGUAGCAUGGGGCGCUAGCCCUAGCACUUGAAAAUUUUUGCAUCAGGAAGUUGCACCCCUGGUACUGCCCUGUGACGACCCGGCCAGUUGUAUCAUGAGUUACCACUCCAUUUCUCCCAUUUUUGCUUCUUAUUUCUUUGUCUAAUGGUCCUAUAUGCGAUCGGGUUGGUUGGCUCGGGUUCGGAAAGGAUUUGGUAAGGUUUGAGAUCACUUAGUCUCUUUUGAGGAAUCUUAAGUUGGAAAAGUCAAACGGAUGUUGACUUAUUAUUUAGAGGGCUCGGAUGUGAGUUCCGAUGGUUUGGUUAGCUUCGGGAGGUGAUUUGGGACUUAGGAGUGUGAUCGGAAUGAGUUUUGGAGGUUCGGAGUAGAUUUAGGCUUGAAUUGGCGAAGUUGAUAUUUUGGCAAUUUCCGGUUGGUAGGUGAGAUUUUGAUAUAGGGGUUGGAAUGGAAUUCCGAGAGUUGCAGUAGUUCCGUUGUGUCAUUUGGGAUGUGUGUGCAAAAUUUUAGGUCAUUCAAACGUGGUUUGGUUGGGUUUUUGAUCAAAAGUGGAAUUUAGAAGUUUUUGGAAUUCUUAGGCUUGAAUCCAAUGUAAUUUUAGUGUUUUGAUGUUGUUUUGGGAGUUCUGAGGGUUGGAACAAGUUUGAAUGAGGUUAUGGGAUAUGUUGGCAUGUCUGGUUGGGGUCCCGAAGUCCUCGGGUGAGUUUCGGAGGGUUGAACAGAUCAUUUUAAGUUAAAGAAAAGUUGCAGAUUUUGGGUUCAGCUGUUGUAAGUAUUUUGUUCUUCGCGUUCGCGAGUGAACCCUCGCGUUCGUGAAGGGUCAGGAAGGGAGGCAUCAGGAUUAGCUUUCACGUUCGCGAGGGGGAGUCCCGCAUUCACGAAGGGCCGGAAUGGGAAGCAUCGCGUUCGCGAAGGCCUGACCGUAUUCGCGAAGGUUGGUGAAGCUAAGGCAUCGCGUUCGCGAAGGAGAGUUUUGGUCAAUGGAAUUUUUUUUGUGCUUCGCGAACGCGAGUCUUUGACCACGUUCGCGAAGAAGGAUUUCUGGUCGCUGGGCAGAAUGUUUAAAAGGUCAUUUUCGCGAGUUUUGGCCUAAGUCCACCAUUUUUACUCGGAUAAGGAUUCCGUUGAUAUAAUUUUUAUUAAGUUUUGAGACGUGGGCCCNNNNNNNNNNNNNNNNNNNNNNNNNNNNNNNNNNNNNNNNNNNNNNNNNNNNNNNNNNNNNNNNNNNNNNNNNNNNNNNNNNNNNNNNNNNNNNNNNNNNNNNNNNNNNNNNNNNNNNNNNNNNNNNNNNNNNNNNNNNNNNNNNNNNNNNNNNNNNNNNNNNNNNNNNNNNNNNNNNNNNNNNNNNNNNNNNNNNNNNNNNNNNNNNNNNNNNNNNNNNNNNNNNNNNNNNNNNNNNNNNNNNNNNNNNNNNNNNNNNNNNNNNNNNNNNNNNNNNNNNNNNNNNNNNNNNNNNNNNNNNNNNNNNNNNNNNNNNNNNNNNNNNNNNNNNNNNNNNNNNNNNNNNNNNNNNNNNNNNNNNNNNNNNNNNNNNNNNNNNNNNNNNNNNNNNNNNNNNNNNNNNNNNNNNNNNNNNNNNNNNNNNNNNNNNNNNNNNNNNNNNNNNNNNNNNNNNNNNNNNNNNNNNNNNNNNNNNNNNNNNNNNNNNNNNNNNNNNNNNNNNNNNNNNNNNNNNNNNNNNNNNNNNNNNNNNNNNNNNNNNNNNNNNNNNNNNNNNNNNNNNNNNNNNNNNNNNNNNNNNNNNNNNNNNNNNNNNNNNNNNNNNNNNNNNNNNNNNNNNNNNNNNNNNNNNNNNNNNNNNNNNNNNNNNNNNNNNNNNNNNNNNNNNNNNNNNNNNNNNNNNNNNNNNNNNNNNNNNNNNNNNNNNNNNNNNNNNNNNNNNNNNNNNNNNNNNNNNNNNNNNNNNNNNNNNNNNNNNNNNNNNNNNNNNNNNNNNNNNNNNNNNNNNNNNNNNNNNNNNNNNNNNNNNNNNNNNNNNNNNNNNNNNNNNNNNNNNNNNNNNNNNNNNNNNNNNNNNNNNNNNNNNNNNNNNNNNNNNNNNNNNNNNNNNNNNNNNNNNNNNNNNNNNNNNNNNNNNNNNNNNNNNNNNNNNNNNNNNNNNNNNNNNNNNNNNNNNNNNNNNNNNNNNNNNNNNNNNNNNNNNNNNNNNNNNNNNNNNNNNNNNNNNNNNNNNNNNNNNNNNNNNNNNNNNNNNNNNNNNNNNNNNNNNNNNNNNNNNNNNNNNNNNNNNNNNNNNNNNNNNNNNNNNNNNNNNNNNNNNNNNNNNNNNNNNNNNNNNNNNNNNNNNNNNNNNNNNNNNNNNNNNNNNNNNNNNNNNNNNNNNNNNNNNNNNNNNNNNNNNNNNNNNNNNNNNNNNNNNNNNNNNNNNNNNNNNNNNNNNNNNNNNNNNNNNNNNNNNNNNNNNNNNNNNNNNNNNNNNNNNNNNNNNNNNNNNNNNNNNNNNNNNNNNNNNNNNNNNNNNNNNNNNNNNNNNNNNNNNNNNNNNNNNNNNNNNNNNNNNNNNNNNNNNNNNNNNNNNNNNNNNNNNNNNNNNNNNNNNNNNNNNNNNNNNNNNNNNNNNNNNNNNNNNNNNNNNNNNNNNNNNNNNNNNNNNNNNNNNNNNNNNNNNNNNNNNNNNNNNNNNNNNNNNNNNNNNNNNNNNNNNNNNNNNNNNNNNNNNNNNNNNNNNNNNNNNNNNNNNNNNNNNNNNNNNNNNNNNNNNNNNNNNNNNNNNNNNNNNNNNNNNNNNNNNNNNNNNNNNNNNNNNNNNNNNNNNNNNNNNNNNNNNNNNNNNNNNNNNNNNNNNNNNUAUUAUGAAAUAUUAAUGAGCCUGAGUGCUGAGAGUGAGUACUGAGUGACGAGAGUUGAGUUACGAGUGAUUGAGAGGCUGCUCGAGAGGCCAUAUUCUAAGUGACACCUUGACCGAAGGGCCCAGUUAUGAUAUUUUCACUGAUUUCACUCUUCUUUUAAAAUAAGCCUCCGUUGGAAAAAUUGCUAAUUAUAGGAUUUCAAGUAUUUAAACUGAAAUUGAUGACUUUACGACGAAACUGGUUUUAAACUGUGAAGUUGAUCUGUUAUCCUGUUGUUCAUUCAUUUAUAUGAUUUUUAACUGCUCGUCACUGCUUUCAGACCUUAUUUACUUUAGUUACUUACUGAGUUGGCGUACUCACGUUACUCCCUGCACCGUGUGUGCAGAUUCAGGUGCCCGAGCGGCAGAGUGAGGGUCCUCAGCAUUAUUAGAGUUUGCCGGAGUCUGCAAGGUAGAUGCAUGGUGUUCGCAACCCUGCUUUCUUCCUCUAUCCUUGUUUUUCCGCAUUUUAGACUUGUUUUGUAUCAGACGAUCAGAAUUGUAUAUGUUAGAGGCUCUAGACUUGUGACACCAGAUGGUUGGGCCGUGUUGGUUUAACAUUGUGUUGAUUUCCACACCUUUUGGCUAUUUUAUGCACUUCUUAUGAAAAAUUGAGGUUUUAAACUUGUGUUAGAAAACUGGUUUUAUAAAAGAAAUUUGUUGUAGUUAAUGGUUUGGGUUGGCUUGCCUAGUAAUGUGAUAGGCGCCAUCAUGACCAGGUAUUUGGGGCCGUGACAAGUUGGUAUCAAAGCCUAGGUACAUAGGUCUCUCGAGUCAUGAGCCGGUUUAGUAGAGUCUCGCGGAUCAGUACGGAGACGUCUGUACUUAUUCUCGGGAGGCUGCAGAACCUUUAGGAAAAACUUCAUACUCUUGAAAUUCUUGUCAUGCGAAUUUGUUGAUCCGAGUACUAAACUUAUGUAAUUCCAUUCUCUCACAGAUAGUGAGGACACGUGCUACCGGGCAGGAUGGACGACCACCCGUACCACCAGCUAGGGCCACUAUAAGCCGAAGACACAGUCGAGGCCGUGGUAGGGGCAGAGCAGCUAGGGCAAAACCUGCAGAUCCACUAGCUGCCACAGUUUAGGAUCAAGUCCCAGAUGUGGAUGCUACAGCAGCACCAGCUCAGGCACCCGUCGUGCCUAUUGUGAUUCCAGGCCUUUAGGAGGCUUUAGCUCAGAUCUUGUCAGUGUGUACCAGUUUGGCCAGGUGGUCUCAGUUACUACGGCCGCAGCUACUUCUCAUGCUGGGGGAGGCACCCGGACUACCAUUGCUCGCACACCUUAGCAGGUUGUGCAGGGACUCCAGACACCGGGGGUACCUCCAGCCCAGCCGAUUGCACUAGCUCAAGAGUAUGUGGUACCAGUUAUGCCGGACGACGAGCAGCAUCGACUAGAGAGGUUUGGCAGACUUCAGCCUCCGACUUUCAGUGGGGCAGAUGGCGAGGAUGCCCAGGGUUUCUUGGAUAAGUGCCAGAGGAUGCUUCGUAUAACAGGUAUUCUAGAGACCAGUGGUGUAGCUUUUACCACCUUUCAGUUUUCUGAGGCUGCCUUCACUUGGUAGGAGGCGUAUGAGAGGUGUAGGCAUGUUGAUGCAGUGCCCAUUACCUGGUAGUAGUUCUCUGUUCUCUUUCUGGAGAAGUAUGUGCCACAGUCUCGCCGAGAGGAGCUGUGCAGGCAGUUCGAGCAGUUGCGUCAGGGAGAGAUGACUGUGACAUAGUAUGAGAUGCAGUUCUCUGUUAGCUCACCAUGCAGUCUGGUUAGUUCCGAUAGAUAGAGAGAGGAUUAUGAGGUUUGUUGAUGGUAUCACAUAUCAGCUUCGGAUUCUCAUGACUAGGGACAGGGUGACAGGUGCUACUUUUGAGGAGGUUGGUGACAUCACCCGUAAGAUUGAGUCGGUUUGCCGCCAAGAGCGAGAGGAGAGGGAGGCCAAGAGGCCUCGGGGAUCAGGUAGCUUUAGUAGUGCUCCUUCGAGGGUCAGUUCUAGCAGAGCAGAGGCCAUCCAUUUAGGCAGGCUCAUUCAGCUUGCCCAGGUUAUCGUAGGGCAUCGUCAGGUCAUGGUUCUCAUAGUUCUCGUCAGGUCCACUCAUCACUCAAUGCCCUUCCAGCCCAGAGUUCGUCCCGUGCUCCAUCAGUUUAGGGUUCUUCCAUGCCAGGUCCUUCUACUGGUCAUUCCGGUGCCAGGGGUUCCCUUCAGUCCCCAUUUCCAGCACCGGGAAGUUGUUAUGAGUAUGGGGAGUUUGGGCAUAUGAGGAGGCAAUGUCCUUGUCUUCAUGAUGGUCCAUCUCAGCAGAGGGGUCAGCCCUCAACUUCAGCUCCAGUUACUUCACCACCUGCCUAGCCAGCUAGGGGUAGAGGUCAGGAAACUAGGGGUUACCCUAGAGGGGGAGGUCGAUCAUGUGGUGGUCAGGCUCGUUUCUAUGCCGUCCCAGGUAGACCAGAUGAUGUUGCUUCAGAUGUCGUGAUCUCAGGUAUUGUUUCAGUCUGCCACAGAGAUGCCUCUGUAUUAUUUGAUCCUGGUUCCACCUUUUCUUAUGUGUCAUCAUACUUUGCCCAUUAUUUGGAUACCCCCUGUGAGUCUCUCGUUUCACCUGUUCAUGUAUCUACUCAAGUGGGCAAUACUGUUAUCGUAGACCGUGUGUACCGGUCGUGUGUGGUGACUAUUGGUGGUCUGGAGACGCGAUUGGAUCUUUUAUUAUUGUUUAUGGUGGAUUUUGAUAUCAUUUUGGGCAUGGAUUGGAUAUCUUCGUGUCGUGCUAUUCUGGACUGUCAUGCCAAGACAGUUAUAUUGGCUAUACCGAGUGUUCCACAGAUUGAGUGGCGAGGUUUGACUAAUUAUGUUCCCAGUAGAGUGAUCUAAUAUUUGAAGGCCCAUCGUAUGGUUGGGAAGGGAUGUCUUUCGUAUCUAGCCUUUGUGAGGGAUGUCGGUGCAGAGACUCCCAGUAUUGAUUCUGUCCCAGUUGUGAGGGAUUUUCCUGAUGUGUUUCCUACAGACCUGUUGGGCAUGCCACCGGACAGGGAUAUUGAUUUUGGUAUUGACCUGGUGCCGGGCACUCAGCUCAUUUCUAUUCAGACGUAUCAUAUGGCACUAGCAGAGUUGAAAGAGUUAAAGGAGCAGCUUCAGGAACUCCUUGACAAGGGGUUCAUUCGGCCUAGUAUGUCACCAUAAGGUGCGCCGGUUCUAUUUGUGAAGAAGAAGGAUGGCACUAUGAGGAUGUGCAUUGAUUAUAGGCAAUUGAAUAAAGUAACAAUUAAGAACAAGUAUCCUUUGCCUCGCAUUGAUGAUUUAUUCGACCAGUUUCAGGGAGCGAGAGUGUUCUCCAAGAUUGAUCUCUGUUCGGGUUAUCACCAGUUGAAGAUCAAGGACUCGGAUAUUCUUAAGACAACUUUCAGGACACGAUAUGGUCAUUAUGAGUUCUUGGUGAUGUCUUUUGGCUGACCAAUGCCCCAGCAGCGUUCAUGCAUUUGAUGAACAACGUGUUCCCGCCUUAUCUCGAUUUGUUUGUCAUAGUCUUCAUUGAUUAUAUUCUGGUGUAUUCGCGUAGUCAAGAGAAGCAUGCGGAGCAUUUGAGAGUUCUGUUGCAGAGAUUGAGGGAGCAGAAGCUUUAUGCAAAAUUCUCCAAGUGUGAGUUUUGGCUCAGUUCAGUGGCUUUCUUGGGGCAUGUGAUGUCCAGUGAGGGUAUUCAGGUUGAUCCGAAGAAGAUAGAGGUGGUUCAGAGUUGGCCCAGACCAUCCUCAACCAUAGAGAUUCGCAGCUUUCUUGGUUUGGCAGGCUAUUAUCGUUGGUUUGUUCAGGGAUUCUCAUCUAUCGCAUCGCCCUUGACCAAGUUGAUUCAGAAGGGUAUUUCAUGUGUAUGGUAGGACGAGUGUGAGGAGAGCUUUCAGAAGCUCAAGACAGCUUUGACCACAACUCUAGUGUUAGUUUUGCCAUCAGCUUAAGGUUCAUAUACCGUGUAUUGUGAUGCUUCGAGAGUUGGUAUUGGUUGUGUAUUGAUGCAGGAGGGUAGAGUUAUUGCUUAUGCUUCUCGUCAGUUGAAGCCCCAUGAGAAGAACUACCCCGUUCACGAUUUAGAGUUGGCUGCCAUAGUUCACGCGUUGAAGAUUUGGAGGCAUUACUUGUAUGGUGUGUCUUGUGAGGUGUUUACUGAUCAUUGUAGCCUCCACCACAUUGGCCUUCCCCAUACCAAUGUGGUGGCCGAUGCUUUGAGCCAAAAGGUGGUGAGUAUGGGGAGUUUGGAAUAUAUUUCAGUUGGGGAGAAACCUCUUGUAGUUGAUGUUCAGGCCUUGGCCAAUCGGUUCGUGAGGUUAGAUUUUCGAAGUCCAGUCGGGUAUUGACUUGCAUGGUUUCUUGGUCUUCUUUAUAUGAUCGCAUCAGAGAGCGCCAGUAUGAUGAUCUGCAUUUGCUUGUCCUUAAGGACAGAGUUCAGCAUGAUGAUACCAAAGAUGUGACUAAGUCAUUGAAUUCAUCUAGUACCACGUAAUAUGUCAAUUUAUGAUACCGGCCGUGAUUUUUUGCAAUAAUAGAAAAUAAUUCAUCAGCAACAAGGUGAGUAAGUUUUUUGAAUAUCACAAGAUCAAGAAGAUAUUAUCAACACCUUAUCACCCUAGUGGGAUCGGGCAGGCAAAAUCAAAGAACAUGCCUAUACUAAAAAACUUGAAGAAGAGGUUGACCGGUUCGAAAGGGAAAUGGAAGGAGAUCCUCCCCGAAGUCUUAUAGGCAUACUGUACGACUUCAAAAUAAUGCACUGGAGCCACCCUGUUUUCUUUGGUUUACGUAGCCAAAGCGCUUAUACCAGUCGAGGUGGGAGAAUUGAGUCUCGGGUUCCAUUAUGCGGCCGAAGCGCCGAACAGCGAGGCCAUGAUUACGAGCCUGGAACUAUUGGAUGAAAGACAGGAGCCCGCCUUAGUCCGGUUAACUACCCAAAAAUAGCAAAUAGAAAGGUAUUACAACCAAAGAGUCAGCCUCUGACACUUUCCACUCGGGAACUUAGUGUUGAGAAAAGUAACACUACACACCAAAAAUACGAAUGAAGGGAAAUUGCUCUCGAAUUAGGAAGGAUUGUAUCGAGUUUCUAGAGUAACCCGCAAAGAAUUAUAUAAACUCGAAGCGGGAAAUGUUGUACAACUACCAAACAACUAGAACAUAACACGCUUAAAGCGGUAGUACAGCUAAGGUACAAACUCAUUCACUUUCUAAUUAUGUUAUAAACUGGACUAACAUAUGCAGGUAAUCAGCCAAGGAUGGAUGUGGCUAUUAGGUCUGAAAGCACGUGUUGCACUGUUUUUCCCUUGAACUGGUUUUGUCCCAAAACGGAUUUUUUCGGCAAGGUUUUUAAUGAGAAAAUAGUAAAACUUGCUACCUUAGAUUUAAAGAUCGGUUUCAAACCAGAAUCGAUGAUUAUUUUCUUUAGAUUAACAGUAUCCGAUCCCUCACUAGUUCGACCCAGAUACUGGGGGCCAUUAACCCCGAAUUAAGAUCUUUAGCAAGGGAAAAAGAAAAUUUUAUGUGCUAAAGUCUAAGGCACGGUGGUUAGGAUUCACCGUAAGGGACAAACGGUCGUAUGAACCGUGCCCACAUAAUCCACUCUAGCCACGACACAAGUUUUAUAUGUUGUUGAUCAUGUACCUUGCACACUAUGCAAUGAAAUAAAUUUCUACUUCCCUUACACUUUCUUACUGUGCAUUUUUCUUCUUUGAUCCUAGAUCCUAAAGCCCAUAUGCUACCCCUACUUGGGGACUAUCGCCCGAUUAAAAUUCAAAUGUACCAAACCCACUAGGCAGUGUUCAAAUAUAAAAGGCUACGACCACUCUAAAAAUGGCUCAAAGAAGCCUGAAGUCUGUAACCAGAAAGUAACGCCCUUACAAAAAAUUGAAACCUACUAAAAGGUUAACCUCGGCAAAAACAUUGUCUAAAAACACUUAAGCAUCUUAAAAACCUUCGGUCUUACCAAGGGUUCGAAGCCAUAAUUAAACCAAAGUUGCAUCGAAGUCGGGCUCUGUUCUAACCUCUGAAAAAUGGAUGCUCCAGAACUACAUGUGAUUUUAUGCUAAGGCAUUAAAAACAAUAUACAAAUAGAAAUUGCAAGUAAAUGCUGGAAAAGUAAAGACACAGUACUGCCAGAAAGGGGAAAAUUUUAUAUACUCCAAAAUAUAUUUACAAAGGCACGAUAGAACGGCCACAAAAUAAACAAAAAAAUAUACAUAAGGAAAAACUGGAAUAGUACUAAGGCAUCUACGCCUAGUCUUCACCGAGGCUCGACUCGUCGCCUGAACCGUCGGAGCCCUCAAAACCUUCGGAACCCUUGGAGCCUUCGGGACCCUCAAGCUCGUAGAGCUCCUUUGUCUCGGCCUCAAGCCUCCUAGCUUAUUCAAUCUCGGUCGAUAGGUCAAAACCUCAGACAUGGAUCUCUUCUAUGGUCUCUCUUCGGGAUAGCCGCUUUACGUACUCAGUCUUCAUCUUUAAGUGGGUCUCGGCUACCUCCACAUCAACCUUAUACUGGGCCACCAUUUCCUCGGCAUCAGUAGAGGUUUCAUCCAAUUUAUACCUCAGUGCGGCAUAUUCUUAUCUGAGAGCAUCUAGUUUUGUGACGGCUGAGCUCAGUUUUGCCCCGAGUUCAUCAUUUAGCAGAGACCAUUUAUCGGUUGUGCCAUUCUCCACCCAGAGCUGGUUCUCGACCAAUGCCAGCUCCGCUUUCGCAGCUUCCUUCUCCAAAGCCUACAGGUCCAUCAUGCCCUUCCACACUUUGGUCAUGGCUUUAACCUCAUCCAUCUCAGCCCAAAAGUGGUCGAUCAUAUUUAUCUUUUCUUGGACUUGCGAAUUUGUGUUGUUAGUCACCACGACUAGCUGUUCAUUUUUAGCCUCUAAGAUCUUUACCUUCUCAACCAGGUCGGGUUGUUCCUGCUUCAAGGUCGAGGCGUCUUUUUGAGCCUUUACAGCUCGGCAUGGAGAAUCAGGAGGUCUUUGAGACCCUCGUCCUGCUUCUCACUAAGAUCCCUAUACAUGUCCUUCUUCCGGACAUGCUCUUUGAGCUCGAACUCGAUCCAGCUAAUCUUGAAGCGAUACUAGAGGAAGCUUUCAUGGUGAAGCACUAAAGCCUGGAAAACAAUGAAGUUAGUAGAGGACAUCAAAAACCAAAAUGAGAUUCACAAAGGGGUACAAAGGGCUGACGCAUUACCUGGUUCAGCGCCUGCUGUACCACGUUGAAGAGGCUCGCGUGCCCACCUCGUUCAUCUUUGCAUGCUCCUACUCAGUUAUUAAUGCUCGAACUCAUCCCCCUUCACCCCCCGCUCUCGAUGGGAUAUCCUUCUUCGGGACCUCCAUGUGACCAUGCCUGGAAACUUUCUCUAGUGCGACUACAUCCAUGCCAUCGAAGAACAUGUUGAGGGCGUCGUUUGGGCUCUACGCCACCCCGCUUGACUUCUCUUUGCCCUCUUGGGCCUCUUUGAGUAUGGACUCGAUAUAGGAGGGUGUCUCCAUGAUGUCAAUGACACCGGAUGCCUCCUUCGAGAUAGGAGCGGCUUCCUGGGGGGCCACAACCUCCGUCUCUCCCUCUAGUUCCUGAGUAAGAGGGGGAUCGACCUCAUGGUCCUCUAUCUCGGUCGUUUCCUGCUCCCCCUCGUUAAGGAUCGACCCAUGUGCAAUAAAAAGGUCAUAAUCCUCGGGCUCAUCCUUGAGCCGGUAGAGAUAAUCGGGCUCUAGUACCUUAGACUUGGUGAUCACUUUCUUCUUCUUCGCCUCGGCGUCCGGAGAACCUGGACUUUAUUUUCUUCUUCUUCUUCUUCUUCUUCUUCUUCUUCUUCUUCUUCUUCUUCUUCUUCUUCUUCUUCNNNNNNNNNNNNNNNNNNNNNNNNNNNNNNNNNNNNNNNNNNNNNNNNNNNNNNNNNNNNNNNNNNNNNNNNNNNNNNNNNNNNNNNNNNNNNNNNNNNNNNNNNNNNNNNNNNNNNNNNNNNNNNNNNNNNNNNNNNNNNNNNNNNNNNNNNNNNNNNNNNNNNNNNNNNNNNNNNNNNNNNNNNNNNNNNNNNNNNNNNNNNNNNNNNNNNNNNNNNNNNNNNNNNNNNNNNNNNNNNNNNNNNNNNNNNNNNNNNNNNNNNNNNNNNNNNNNNNNNNNNNNNNNNNNNNNNNNNNNNNNNNNNNNNNNNNNNNNNNNNNNNNNNNNNNNNNNNNNNNNNNNNNNNNNNNNNNNNNNNNNNNNNNNNNNNNNNNNNNNNNNNNNNNNNNNNNNNNNNNNNNNNNNNNNNNNNNNNNNNNNNNNNNNNNNNNNNNNNNNNNNNNNNNNNNNNNNNNNNNNNNNNNNNNNNNNNNNNNNNNNNNNNNNNNNNNNNNNNNNNNNNNNNNNNNNNNNNNNNNNNNNNNNNNNNNNNNNNNNNNNNNNNNNNNNNNNNNNNNNNNNNNNNNNNNNNNNNNNNNNNNNNNNNNNNNNNNNNNNNNNNNNNNNNNNNNNNNNNNNNNNNNNNNNNNNNNNNNNNNNNNNNNNNNNNNNNNNNNNNNNNNNNNNNNNNNNNNNNNNNNNNNNNNNNNNNNNNNNNNNNNNNNNNNNNNNNNNNNNNNNNNNNNNNNNNNNNNNNNNNNNNNNNNNNNNNNNNNNNNNNNNNNNNNNNNNNNNNNNNNNNNNNNNNNNNNNNNNNNNNNNNNNNNNNNNNNNNNNNNNNNNNNNNNNNNNNNNNNNNNNNNNNNNNNNNNNNNNNNNNNNNNNNNNNNNNNNNNNNNNNNNNNNNNNNNNNNNNNNNNNNNNNNNNNNNNNNNNNNNNNNNNNNNNNNNNNNNNNNNNNCUUCUUCUUCUUCUUCUCAUCCUCCUCCUCCUCCUCCUCCUCCUCCUUCUCCUCCUUCGCGGCAGCCCCGAUCUACCCCGAAAUAGAGGGUCCGGCAAGCAAGGACGGAUCCUCAUCCUCGUCCAAUGGCCUUAGUAGACAAACCUAUAAGAAAAGAGAAAAGGUUAGCACUGUGUAAGUUAAGAGCAAGAUGGUAAUUAUUUAGGAAAAAACCUCACCAUGAGAACGGUCCUCCCAUUUGCCCUUCAAAAGCGCUCGGAGUAUGGAAUCUGCUUGCAGAUCCCCUCGAUCCAAUCCUUGAAUCGGGGAAUUGCAUUAGGAUCUUGGGAGACAGUUGCACAACAACAAACACAAGCAAUGAGAGAAGGAAUAAAAUGAUGUGAAUACUCAUGGAAGAUAAUAAUUACGAGAUGCAUUUCAUCUCUCGGGGAAGGGCAAAAACUCGGGAGGGAUCAGGUCUUCAGUUUUCACCGGAACGAAUCUACCAUGCUAGACUCGAUCUCAGUCCUCGUUGAUGCUUGCGAAAGGAGCCUUCCUUGCUCGGAGAACGAGCUUGAUCAGCCCCCCUUGAAUAAUUUGGGACUGUAUAUGCGGAGUAAAUGGUCAAGGGUAAACCCUAGGGCUUCGGUAUUGUUCACGAAAUAGCGUAAGAGGAUCACGAUCCCUUAAAAAGAUGGGUGUAUUUGCCCAAGGCAUACCUCGUACCUUUUGCAGAAAGCAAGAACUAUGGGUUCUUCCAGGGUGAGCGUGAAGGGGUAAAUGUAAACACUUAAAUACCCUUCACAUGAGUAGUGAUGUCGUUAUUGGGCCUAGGGGUGACCACAUCCUUACCCUCCCAAUUACAAUGUGCUCGGACUAUAGAUAAGGUUUCUUUAGUGACAGAGCAUAUAUAUCUCCAUGCUCCCUCGCCUCGGUCCUGUUGACUAGAGGCCUUCUCGGCGUGGAAGUCAUUCCUGAUAGCAGCCCCCAGGAAUGAAGCUCUUCAUAGGGGGCUCCUAAGCCACUUCGGGAACGACCACCUUGGCAUCUGUGGUUGGGUGGGAAUAUAAAGGAACGGCUUGCUGAGGCACUGACUUGGAGGUUUUUGCCAUUGUAAUAUCGGAAAUAUGAAGGUUUGAAGAAGGAUAUGAAGGUUUGAAGAAAAAUAUGAAGAUUUGAAGAUGGUAUGAAGGUUUGGGUUGAAGGUUCAAAGAAUUUAUAUGAGGAUUGAGGAUGAAGAUAUGAAAGUUCAAAGGGAAAUGUAUGAAGAUUUGGGGAAGUUAAAUAUCGUUUGUGAGUUUGAGGGUAAAAUCUAGAAUCGGAAAGUGAAAGAACUGAAAAAGGUCGAAGCUUUUAUAGGGGAAAAAUAAUCAAUGCGCAACGUUUCGCAUUCGAAGGCAGCCAUUCCGUGACUAACACGUGUCCGAAGUCAAAUGAUACGACUGAUGGGACGUUUUGAUUUACUUUUCACCUCAAUUUUAACGUACGAAGGAAGGAACCUGGGUUCAUCUGUCAUUUCCCAUCAUUUCGGCAAACCUAUUAUCUGAAAAACGAAGGGACUAUCUGUAUACGGGUAAAAUUAGAGAUAAUACAUACCACGAUUUCCCGGUGAAGAAAAUGGAAGAAGGGCACGGAUGCACGAGAUUGAAAUCGAGGUUGAGAGCCCUUCAUAUCGAGAUCCAUGAAAGGUGAACGAUGUGCUCAUCAUCGAACCUGAUGAAGCGACACGUUCCAGACCCAGGAUGACUUUUAGACCUCGGAAAAUACGAUAAAAAGUUACACUCGACGGAUAGAGGGCAGUGAUAUUCGCACCCAACCAAAUAUCACGGCGCAGAUCUCGCUUGAUAUAUGUUACGGAUCAGUAAUUAACGAGAAAGGGAGAUUUUUACCCUUUUUAGACUUAUAUUAGGGAUGCAACUCUCCUACUAUAUAAAGAGAAGGUUUUUCUUUUGUAAGAAACAUUGUAACAGGCGAAUCAAAGCAAUACAAAUUCAUUUUCUGCCUUUUAAUUACUGUUAAAGUUGUUGUUCACUUAACCUGCUUUUCAUUCAUGACUGAGCUCGAAUCGAGGAUCUGAUCGAGGACGAGGUCAUUGUUUCAUCUAAGUUCAGGCUUGGCCAUAAUGUCACAAUUGGUUUGAUCGUUUAAUUCGUCUUUAAUUUAUUUAUCUAAUAUACUUAAUUAUUUGUAUUGAAUCAAACCACAUAUCCUUAAAACCGCUUACAAAUUUAAUUGUUAUCCGAUUUAAGGGUAAACAGAGGUCAAGGUAAUUUUUUGUUAUUUAUUAGAGAGACGAUAUCUUUUUAGGUCAAGGUAAGUUUUUGUUAUUUUGUAGAGAGACGAUAUACAAUAUUAGUAUUAAACUGAAUUAGUAUCAGUGCAUGCAUAUAUAUGCUUCGUAGAGCGUCUAAACUGCUAAGUUGAACCACAAUAUUACAAGAGUUGGAAGAAAAUGUCAGUUGGUGGAUCGUACCCAAUGAUGUCAUAAUUUUUUAUUUAAAAACAAUUCAACUUUAAAGUUUUUACUUUAUUUUUAGAUGAUUUAUAGGCACAUAAAUAUCUCUAACUUAUUUUAGACCACAAGUUAUUUUUCUAUCUUACUUAAAUUUGUGUCGAGUCAAAUAUUGUCACAUAAAUUGGUAAAUUGGGUUGGAGAGCGUAGUACUUUAGUAUAACAUCUUCUUUUAAGUUCCUCCUUUGCAAGUAAAUCAGAGCGAAGUUUUUUGAACUAAUUUCGAGUUGAUUAGAUCUCUUCAUCCUCAAUUUUGUCAAGCAUCUCCAUUUUCUCACUGAUUAGUGUUAAGUGUAUUCAUAAAAGACAUAAAUCUAUCAUUCCUUAGUGUAAAUAUAUCAUGCUGACAAAAAAAAUCACUUCUCUCGAUUCCUUUUUUUUUUUUGUUGUAGAUCACUCAAUGUAAUACUAGCAUUUAAAAAAAAAAAGGAUAUGGUUUGGGAUUCAAUCGAACGACUAGAAUCAAGACUCGCCGACACGUUCUAUUAAAUGGACCCAACCCAAUGAUGACGAAAGGUCCAAUCAAGUAAUAAAUCAAAGGACCAUUUGACUCAGCUGAUUUAAUUUCUCUCUGAAGAUAAUAAAGAAGUGUAUUACAUGAGGGAUUCUUGUGAUUCACAUUUCACAUCAGAAGCCCACUCCCACUAAUUGUCGACACUCAACGCUCCCUGUGUAAAUAUCAAUCAACUUGUGUUGUUGCGGAUUUCACAAUGGAUAUUCUUCCAUUUGUUUAUCAUAAAUAUUGUGGUUAAUUGAAUCAUAAUGAUAAUAAUAUUCACAACAAAUAUAUUUUCUCCUUUUCUUUUGGAAUAAUAAGAUGCAGUUUUUGACCACUAUGGUGUGUUUGGUAGGAAGGAAAAUAUUUAUGAUCUCAUUUUUCUCCAAUUAAAAGAAAAUAUUUUUCAAAAUUCUUUCUCAAUCUUUUUCAUCCUAUUUCUCAUCCUCAUCAACCCACCCCCACACCCACCCACCCAACCGCCCUACUCACCCCACCCUAAAUAAAAAUAUUUUUAAUACUAUUUUCUUUUCAUUUUAUAGAUAGAUUUUUUUUUUGUAUUUCAAUAAAUGAGUAUUUUUUACAUGAUAUAAAAAAGUAUUUUUUUCAUUUCAACAAAAAAAAUACUUUCUUUUCAUAGAAAAAAUAUUUUCUUUCGUUUCAACAAUAAAAAAAUAUUUUCUUUUUAUGAUUUAAAUCUUUUUNNNNNNNNNNUACCAAACACACCCUAUAUCUUCCGUAUUACAUACACUAAAAUAGUACACGUAACAUUCCAUUCGUCUUGGUAACUUAUCUUUUACCUAGUAUUUGGUUUGCUUUUUUGUAUAUAGUCUUACUUUGUCUUGUUCAUGUCGGACUAUUUCAUCAAUUUCAUUUUAAGUGUUAAUAUUGAGAAAAAAUCCAAUAUAAUAUAUUAUUAUAUUAUAUUAUAUUUGAACUGCUUUCCUACUCAAAUAAUUUAUUUUAUUGUUAAUUUUAAUAUAGAAAAAUAUACCUAAUUAUUAAAGAACAACUAAGAAAAAUUUUAAGAAUAUAAAUGUGUGAGAAAAAAUAGGAAAAAAUGUUAGUAAAAGCCAAUAUCACUAAUGAUUUUGCAAACAUAAAGAUCUAAAGGUGGAAUGUCAUCGAUGUUUUUACUCUUUGAAAAUAAAACCACUUGGUGGAUAAAAUUAUAAUCACGGUUAAAUAUUCAAACAUGAGAUGAACUAAUAUUAAGAAUCUAAAUCAACAGAAAAUGAAUUAUAUUUCAUGUUAAAACCAAAUAAUUAAAUCUUUCAAUUAUUUAUUUAGCAAGAGAAUACAAUUAAAUUAUUUUUUAAAUUCAUCAUAUGAGAGAAAUUAUUUUUCAAGUUGAAAAAAAUAUAAUAUUAAGAAGAUCAUACAAGUAUUUGAGGAAGCACAAUCUAAGCUAAAUCCUGAACAAGAAUAAGUUUUCAAGAUUAUAUUAUAAAAACUGACUCGGGUAUAGCGGGAUUAUCUUUUGUAGAUGCCUCCGACGGAAUCAAAAUAAUAUUUCUAUGUCAUGUAUUAUUUGCAAAUAUCAAAUCAAGAGGCAUGAUAUUAUUAGCAGUAAGAACAAGUGGUUUACCAACAACAAUUUUAUUAUGAGGUCGUACAACUCACUUUAGAUUUGAUAUACCUCUUGAAAUAACUGAAAUAACCAUCACAAAUAUGUCAAAUCAGAUCAAUAGUGCUAAAUUUAUAAGGAAAACAAAAGUUAUGGGAUGAAGCGAAUUUGGCUAAGCGUCAAACGAUCAAAAUAAUUACCCAUUGUUUUAGAGAUAUAUUGGAUAUCGAGAACCAUUUGGUAAAAACGUAAUAGUUUGGGAGGUGAUUUCUGUCAGAUACGAUCAGUAGUUCCAAAAUUGACCAAAGCAGAAACUGUAAAGCUAGCUUUCCAAAAUUAUACUUAUGACCUCAAAUAAAAAAUAUUCAAAUGACAAGAAAUAUAAAAUUAAUAACAAAUCCAACAUUCAAUGACUUCUUGCUUCCUGUCGGAAACGAAGAAGAGCAUCAAAUAAAAGAUGAUUUGGUUCUUCUAGAACACUUGGUUAUUGUAAUGAUCCGGCUGGUCGUUUUGAGUAUCUGCACUUCGCUCGGUAUUUUGAGGUCUCGAGUAUCUUCGCAUGAUGUAUUAUGACUUGUGUAAGUCGUCGGUAUUGGUUUUCAAGUUAUCCGAAAUCGAUUUGGAAGAAUGAACUUAAAGAUUUAAGCUCUAAGUUGGAAGAGUUGACCAAGUUUGAUUUUUUAGCAUUUAACCUCGGAAUACAAUUCCGUCAAUUCCGAUAGCUCCGUUGGGUAAUUUUGGACUUAGGAGCGCGUCCGAACUGUAAAUUGGAGGUCCGUAAUUGAAUAAGUCUUGAAAUGGCGAAAGUUGGAUUUUUGGAAAGUUUGACGGGGAGUGGACUUUUUGAUAUCGUGGUCGGAUUUCGAUUUCGUCAGUUCGAAUAGGUCUGUAAUGACAAAUGUGACUUGUAUGAAAAAAUUGGGAUCAAUUGCACGUGAUUUAAUAGGUUUCAGCAUCGGUUGUAGAAGUUGAAGUUUCAAAGUUCAUUGACUUGGACUUGAGAUACGAUUUGUCGUUUUGAGGUUGUUAUGCGUGAUUUGAAGCUUCGAGUAGGUUCGUUUUGUCAUAUAGAACUUGUCCGCAAAAUUUAGAUCCAUUUGGAAUUGAUUUGAUAUGGUUCGGACACUUGGUUGUGAUUCUAGAAGUUCUUAAAGUUUAGUUUGAUCCUCAUGCAUUUAGGCGUCCGAUUCGUGGUUUUAGAGGUUAUUUUGAUGAUUUGAUCGCACGAGCGAGUUCGUGUUGUGUUUCUGGACUUUGGUUCAUGGUUAGUUUGGAUCCUCAAGGGCUCGGGUGAGUUUCGGAAUGAUUUUUCAUAAACUUUGAUUUUUGGUAAUGGUAUCAUCACAGUUGCGAUGUUUUUGUCGCAAAUGCGACAACCGCAAUUGCAAAGCAGCCAUCGCAUUUACAAGGUCUGGGCUGCUGGGAAAAUUUGCAUUUGCCAAGAACCCUGCCGCAUUUGCGAAAUGUUGGUCUUCGUAUUUGCGAAGUAUUGGGUCGCAAAUGCGACCUUGACAGGAAAACUUCUUGAGAGUCGAAUAGGACUCGGAUUUGAAAACAAAAUAUAUAUUUGAACUCGUGAGGCUAUGGGUAGUCAAGACCUACCAUUGGACCCGGAUUUUUACCUGGCGGGCCAGGGGUUUGACUUUUUAGAAAUCUAAUAAAAAUCACAGUUUUAUUAAUUAAAAUUACUUUCUCUUUCAUUGUGUGAUGUAUUCAAGUCAUCGUUGGAUAGAUUGAGCCGAGCGGAGGCGAAUUUGUAAAGGAAAAGGCUAAAUUUAGUAUUGAGUUAGCCGAAUUGAGGUAAGUGUCUUGCCUAACUUUGUUGAGGGAAUUUUUCCUCCUAUUUGACAAUGUUUUCUACAUGCGGGGGUGAUACAUAUAUGAGGUGACGAGCGUAUAUAUAUGUGCCAGGGUUAAUCAUGCUUGGGGGUAGAUUAUGUAUAAUUAUGUCUUGUACAAUUACGUGACCUUCUUGCUCCAUGCCUUACUUGACUCUUAGAUACUAAGAACAUAGUAUUAAAUGUUGAAAAUCAAGAUUUAAAUUAUUAUAACUUGAUCAAAUUUGAUGGAAUUCUAAGAAUACAUUUAUGUGUCUAAUUCGGUUAUUCCUAUGCGUAGUCAUUAAUACAUUGCUACAGCCGAUCUUCUAGAGAUACUAGAUUCUAUACUUGUGUUGUUGAUCAUUUGGAGAUUUGUGGAAGUACUUGAAUAAUACGGUUCUUGAGGGUUUAUUGAAUCAUCGUUGGCUUGGAAAGUUGUGAUUGGGAUUUGUUUGGAAUAUUCGUUUAAACACUCUCCUUGAUGUUAUUUAUUCCCCAUGUGUUGUUUGUCAUUGAUAUACACAUGUUUGGUAAGGAAGAGUGUAAAGUACGAAGGGUGAUGCCGUGCCAUAGUUAUACAUUAUCAUGUGAGGGAGAGUGUAAAGCACGAAGGGUGAUGUCGUGCCAUAUUAUUUGAGAGUAAAAGCACGAAGGGUGAUGCCGUGCCAUAUUAUUUGAGAGUAAAAGCACGAAGGGUGAUGCCGUGCCAUAUUAUUGGGAGUAAAAGCACGAAGGGUGAUGCCGUGCCACAUCAUUUGAGAGUAAAAGUAGGAAGGGUGAUGUUGUGCCAUUUCAUUUAUAUUGUUAUGCUUUUAUGUUAUCGUGAGAUCAUGGCACGAUGGGUGUUUUCGUGCAGGUGAGGAUGAGGGACAUGCAUCAUGUUGUGAUAUCUGUUUUUCCGUGUAUAUGUUCACGUCUUUAUCUUGAACGGUUAUUGUCGUAUUUAUAGACCUCGUGUGACUUGUUAUUAUUGUCCUGUCCUUGCUCUCUAUUUCAAUCGUUGUUGUGUUGUACAUAUCUUGUACUUGUUUUAUUUGCAAAACACAUGCCUAUUUCCUGUUGUUAUAAUUACCUCCAUGUCGUGUCUAUUCUGUUGCAUUUUAGUACAAGCCCUUUUUCUAUGUUAGUUAUUCAUGCCUCUGCUUGUUAACUUGUAAAGAUCAUGUGAUUCCUUCUUAUUUGUUAUAUCUGUACUUAGGCCUCCAUCAUGCUAGUUAAUUGAAGUUGAUAUUCCUUAUUUUUCAAUUGUUGUCAUUACUCACAUGCUUUCCGCCUAGUCUUUUAUUGUUGCCCACAUGUAUAUCCUCGUUCAUUAUUGCUACUUGCGUAUUUCCUACUUUGUAAUUCCUAUUUUCGAUAUUUAUGUCAUCUAGUUGGUUCUAUUAUAAGUAUAUGAGGAUGAGAUAAAAGCACGAAGGGUGUUGCCAUGUAAUUAACUUGAUAUCUGAGUACAUUCCUCAUGCUAUGAAAGUUAUGAAGUGACUGUAGUGGUUUAUCAGUUUCAUUCUAAGGAAAGCGAUGGUCAAGGUAUUGUAAGAUGCUAAAUUGUGAUCACUGCUAGUAUUCGAUUAUUAUUUGCGUAUUCGUUUCAUGUAAUCUUUUCUGUUAUAGCGUGGUAUAACUCUAUUGUUGAUUUAUACUACAGGUUUUUAUCAGUGAGUAUCUUUUAACUAAAAAGCCUCGUCACUACUUCCACGAGGUUAGACGAGAUACUUACCAGUAUAUGGGGUCGGUUGUACUGAUACAACACUUCUGCACAUUGCGUGCAGAUUUUGGAGUGGAGCUGCAAGUGAUAUCGGGUGCUGACUUUGAAGAUGUUCAUGCAUUCUGGAUAUAGUUUCCACUUGUCCUUGGUAGCUUAGGUUGUGCUAAUCUCUUAAGUAAAUUUCAAACACAUCGUGUAAUUAUUUGUACUAGCUUUAUAAAUUCCAAGUCUUAGAAGGUCAUGGUUCGUACUACUAGUUCUUGGGUAAAUUUGUAAAUGUUCAGAUAAUUCUUCUCUAUUCUUACUAUAAUCUCAUUCAGAUUGUAUUUUCUGUUAGUGGCUUACCUAGCGGAUCGAGUUAGGUGCCAUAACGACUUGUGAUUUUUGGGUCGUGACAGUUAUCAACCCCAAUGGUAAUAGUAGUGCAUUUAAUAAAGAAAAUAUUUUCAUCAUUAGAUUAAAAUGCAAUUUGUGUAAAUUAUAUGAUAGAAAUUAAAGAGCUAUCUUAGCUAGCAAAAAUGAAUAUACUGAUCAACUAAAUAAAAGGUUGAUUGCUAUGUUUUAUGGUAAUGUUACACCCAAUGUUUCGUACGUAAAAGUAUGCCAUAAGUAAAUUAAUGGGAGCUCGGAAAUGAGAUGUUACAUCUCGCAUUUUCGUGUGUUAAAGUUUUUUCGUAAGUUAAUCGAUGUAAGUUUGGGAAUGAUAUUAUUUUGAGAUUAUAAAUAUUAUGCUAUUUCAAACAAGCGACAAGUAAAUUCGUGAAUGUGAAAGGGUAAGCUGUAGCGAUCCGGCAGGUCAUUUUGAGAAUUAAUGCCCCGAUCAUCUAUUCACUGCUUUCCCCGUAUCUAUUUCUAUUAUUGUGAAUUGCCGGGAUGGUUCAUCUUGAGUUUCGGAGUGUUUUGGGACACUUAGACCCUAAAUAAGAGCGUAAGUCUUAGAAUUUGGACCGUAGUCGGGGAAGUAUGAAGAUGUCUCCGGAAUAGAAUUACGUUGAUUCCGCUAGCUCCGUUGGGUGAUUUCGGUCUUAGAGGCAUGUUUGGAUUGCGUUUUGGAGGUCUGUAGCUCAUUUAGGCUUGAAAUGGCGAAAGUUGAUUUUUUGGAGUUUCGGCCCAACAGUGGAAAUUUUGACAUCAGGGUCAAAAUCCGAUUCUAAAAGUUGGAAUAGGUCCAUAGUAUUGAAUAUGACUUGUGUGCAAAAUUUGGGUUCAAUCGUACGUGUUUUGCUUGGUUUCGGUAUCAGAUGUAGAAUUUUGGAAAUUCAAGUUUUUAAGUUUGGAUUAGAGGGUGAUUCGUAGUUUUAGAGUUGUUUGAUGUGAUUUGAGUGAUCAACUAAGUUCAAAUGAUGUUUUAGGAUUGAUUGGUAUGUUUGGUUGAGGUUCCAGGGGCCUCGGGUGAGUUUCGGAUGCUCAACGGGUCAUUUUUGGACUUAAAGAAGUGGCAGAUUUUCUGGUGUUUUGUUGCAGUGAAAUCCUUCAUCGCGUUCGCGAGAGGAGUCUCGUGUUCGCGUAGAGCAUCUGGGAGAAGCAGCUAAGUGGUACUUUGCAUUCGCGAAGGUGUGGACCCUUUAGCCUACGCGUUCGCGACAUGGUCCUCGCGUUCGCGAAGGGUCUGCCAGUGUAAGCUAUGCGUUUGCGAAAGGACCCUCGCGUUCGCGAAAGAGGAAUUUGGGCCAGUGGGAUUUUUCUCAACGCGUUCGCGAAGAAGGACGCAUCUGGGCAGAAUUUAAAAAUCCAAAAUCGAGGGUUUGAGUUCAUAAUUUUAAAAAUUAAUAGAGAGCUCGGUAGAAGGCAAAAUUUGGAGAGAUUUUCGGAGGAAGUUUGUGGGUAAUGAUUCCUAACUACUUUUUUAUUAUAUCCCAUUAAUCUAAGCUCAAUUUCAUCAUUUAAUUUCGAAUUUGGGGUGAAAAUUUAGGGAAAAUUUUAGAAAAUCUUUAGGCCGAAUUUUGGGAUUUUGAUCGAUAUUUUGGUAUCGGAUUUGGGUGAAUUUGGUAUGGUUAGACUCGUGAGUGAAUGAGUGUUCAUAAUUUGUGAUUUUUACCUGAUUCCUAGAUUUUGGUCCGGGGAGGAUUUUUUGGCAUUUUCCUAUUUUCUUACCUUAGCUUUGAAUUAAUUAGUUAAACUAGUUGCUUGUAGUUUUAUUUACGUUAUGUAAUUAAUUUGAUUAGAUUUGGGCUACUUUGAGUUGGAUACUCGUGGCAAGAGCGUGAUAUCAGAUUGAUUUUGAGCUGGUUCGAGGUAAGUGGCUUGCUUAACCUUGUGUGGGGGGAAUUUCCCUUAGGAUUUUGGUACUGUUAUUAUAUGAAUGCCGUGUACGUGAGGUGAUGAGUGCGUACAUGUGCUAAUUGUUAAAAAACUCCGUUUUCUUUAAGUAAAUAUCUAUGUUUUUCCUUUAAUUGAACAAUACUAGUGUGUGAAGCCUCAUGUUUAGCUCAGGAAAGCAUGCUUAUGUGACUUAAUUGUCUUAUUUGCGUUAACUGCUUAUUUGGAUUCUGUGUAGCAUGUCUAGAGUAGGAAUUUCCUAUUUCUUGAUACGAACUUGAAUAGAACUGUCAAUUUCUUGUUAAGACUAUUGUGUAUUUACUUUGGGACUACGGAUCGGUAUUUCGAGAGAUCUCCCUGCACAUUUAUAUUUGGGACUAAGGGACGGUAUCCUGGGAGAUACCCCUGUACUAGAUAUUUACUUUGGGACUACAGAUCGGUAUCCUGGGAGAUUCUCUAUACAUUUACGUUUGGGACUACCAGACGUUAUCCUGGGAGUUCCCCCUGUUGUUAUCUUUGUGUAUUGAGUUAUUUCUUUAUGUGAUAUCAUCUUUAUUGACUGUUAGUAUUUUAAUUAUACUGUCACAUUUCAUACUGUUUUACCUUGUUAUAUAUAUAACCAGUAGGGCCCUGACCUGAUCUCGUCACUACUCGACCGAGGUUAGGCUUGACACAACUGGGUACCGCUGUGGUGUACUCAUGCCCUUUCUUGCACAUGUUUUUCGUGUGUAGAUCCAUGUUCUUCUGCUCAACCAUACUAUCCGUGAGGCGAGGUGAUUCGGAGACUUCGAGGUAUAUCUACCGCGUUCGCAGGCCUGGAAGUCCCUCUCUAUUCUCCCUUCAGUUAUAGACUUCUUGUAUUUUUCUUCGUUUAGACUUCUGGAGUUAGAACACUAUGUAUUUCUUUAGCUUGUGAUUCAUGCGAUUCCGGGUUUUGGGAGUGCUAUGUUCAGUCGAGAGUGUUAUUAUUGUAUAUGCCGAGCGACAUUUUAAACUCUUUUAUUAUAGUUACUUGUUAGUUGGCUAGUUUUGUUUCUUUAAUUCAUUUUCCGCAAAUUGUUAGGCUUGACUAGUAGACUAGGUGCCAUCACGAUAGUUCACGGAGGGAGAACUUGGGUCAUGGCAUAAGCGAAUCGAAGAAAGUGAAUUUCGGCGAAGUUUGACUUUUUGAGAUAAAUACGAUCCAAGCUACAAUACCCCGUAUUUAUGGAUUAGUGUCAUACAAGGUACCACAUGACCAUGAUAGUAAGAUGUAUAAGGUAUGUUAAAAGUGAGUAGUAUUUUAAGUAAUUUGAGAUAAUUCUUAAUUAUGCAGGUAAUUAAUUAACUAUUGGGUAAUGAGAGAUUACCUAGUUAAUUAAGGAUUUAUUGGGUGAUUAAUUAAGCACAUUUGGAUAAGUAUUAAACUCCAAGAUGGCAGCAAAUUAAGCCCAAUUUUAUGACUCAUUAGUCAUUAGGAUAGGUGGCACAUUAAGGGGUCUUUGGGCAAGACUAAUCCCUAAAAAAUGAGGCCCACCUAAAAAUUUAGUAUAACUUUUCUAGUUCAAAAAUCAUUCUCCUAACCUCUUAAAAGACUUUCAGCAAAGGAGUGUAGUAACGUUAUUGACAAAAACAUUCUGCCAAGGAAUAUAGCAACAUUAUUGACAAAGAGUUUCAGCCAAGGAACGUAGCAACGUUAUUGAGAAAGAGUUUUAGCCAAGAUUAUCUUUGCAUAGCAACGCUAUUGCUUCGAGCAUUUUAUACGUAUUUCUCCUACUCCAAUUUUACCGUCACGUAUUUUGUUGCAAUUAACGUGUGUUAGUGGAAUUGUCAAGAAAAUCGACUCAGGCAUGUUAAGGAUAUCACUUCUUUCUUUUGGUGUGAUGUAUAUGACACAAACGAAACAAGAAAAAUCCACAACUUCCAUAAAUGACUCUAUUCAUAGAAUUAUUAGAGGUGCCUAUGUUCUUGAAUUUCCAUGUGUCCUAUUAUUUUAUAAUCUAUUCAUGAGCCUCAGAAAAAUACGUAAAUUGAUUUUAUGAUAUUAAUCAGAGGCAUAAUGGUCUUAUGACACUCCGAAAGAUUUUAUUGACGUACUUCUCAUGAAUUGCAUUCAUUUACAUUGACCCAUGACCAGAUGGAGUUAUAUACGCGUAUAUAUGUAUAUUAUAUGCAUAUGGGAUAUGGAAAAAGGUUACUGCAUUAUAUACGCACAACCACCUGAUCAGCUGGUAUACGUUGAUGAUUUUACCCACAGUGGCCGAGAUGAUGUGAUGAGAUGCCCUCAUAGGCUUGAUGAUGUUAUGAAUACAUGUACUAUGCAUGACAUGACAUUGAUACGCAUAUGCAUGACACUAUAAGUAUUUCAUGAUUUACAGAGUUAUCCAGACUUACGGGUUAAGUCAUUUACUCCAUGUUUCUUUCAUGUCUUUUAUGUACUUAUUUGUGUGCCUUACAUACUCGGUAUAUUAUUCGUACUGACAUCCUUUUUUCCUUGGGACGCUACGUUUCAUGCCCGUAGGUCCCAAUAGAUAGGUCGAAAGUCCUCCAAGCAGGCUAUCAGCUCAGCGGAAGAUGUUGGUGUGCUCCAUUUGCUCCGGAGUUGCUUGUUUGGUCAGUAUGAUUUAGACAUGUAUUGUUUGGUAUGACGGGGCCCUGUCCUUUACGAUAAUAUAUACUCUUAGAGGCUUGUAGAAAGAUGCCAUAUAUACGGAUGCUUGUAUGGCCUUGCCGACCUAUGUUUUGAGUUUACAAAUAAUCAUGUUGGCCUUAUAGGCCCGUAUGUUACAUGUAUAAGUUUUUAUAUCAGGUUGGGUCGUCCUAUAUUGAAUAUUUUCCUAUAUUUAUUCUGGUUAGCCCAUGACGGCCCGUUUGGCCCAUUUGCCAAUGAAAGUAUGAUAAGAAAUAUAUGUUAUGUUGGUACUCGGUUGAGUAAGGUACCGGGUGACCGUUGCGGCCCAUAAGUAUGGGUCGUGACCGGUAAAAAUAAAAUAUUUUUCAGUUUUGACUCAGUAGAAGAUGAUACCAACAAUAACUACCAAGAAGAAUACUUAAAUACUUUAAUACCAAAUGGCCUUCUUCCGUACAUGCUUUUGUCAAGUUCAUUAUUUCUUACGUAUGUUAGUGUCACCAUAUAUAUAAUAGACUAAGUUAAAAUUGAUCUUCUAUUGCAUAUAUGUUUAUGCACGUCAUGCUACUGAAAAUUUAGAUCCGCUAAAUAGCUUAUGUAAUAGUACACAUAUGGUAUAUAGAUUAUUUAACGACAACGUCAUACAUGCAGAACUUAUGAUACUGGUCAAUGUGCUUCUAAGUAUGUGUUUAUCCCCAAAUUCAACUUUUGUCUUCCGAAACUAAAGAAUAUCCUUUUAAAUUUGUGUGAAAAUAAUUUUCAUUAUGUUUAUGUUUUAUAGUUUUAAUAAAUAAAACACAAUGACAAACAUCCUAAAUGUUGAACUAUAUUUACCAUAAUAUGUUUUCUUACACGAAUAACUAUAUGUUGCACUUUCAACAGAGAUAUCAAUAUUAACAAUAAGAGUUUUGGUUGUGGAAUAGUAACCAAAGCAUUAGAAGGCAAUAUACACAAAAAUAUAGCGCAUAUAAAGAAGUGUUUGGCAAGAUACCAUCACGUUAGAUACCUUUAAACUACAAUACAUAAUUAUCUAAUUAACAUGGCUAAACUUUUCCAUUUUCAGAUAUUACUAAUAUCAUAUUAGAAUGGCAGUUGGAAGGAGAAAGACAAUAAACCAACAAAUAAAAGGCAAGCAAAGAAACUGUUCGACUGAAUAUACCUAACAAGUUUGCCGACACUCCUCAAUAUUCAACAGAUGCCAAAAUAUGGGUCCUAAUCAUAAUGCCGACCUUUUUUAUUGCUAUCCAUACUUUAAUAUAGUAUAGUUAUGAAAAAGGUUACUAUCAAGCAAUUCAUGUGGGAGAUGAGCUGGAAUUUCGGUUCAAAGAUACUCAAGAUCUCCAUUUGUGAUUUCAAACUUUUACAUUUUUUUUUUGGGGAGAUAAUAAUAGUUUUCAGUGUAUUGUAUCGAAGCCAUAUGAAGUUAAUUAGCUAGCGAUGUCUUUAAUUCCAACAGAAUGGAUAAUGAAAUAAAUUGCUAUUGAUAUUUUGAUUUUUUGGUUCCUUUUAUUUUCUGCUAUUAAUGAGAUAAUAUAUUUUUAUUUUAUGCUUCUUAUGGGAUCAUAAAUCUACAUAUAACGUGACAUUGGUGGAAGAUUACAAAUUCUUAAAAAGAAAAAUGUUAUGUUGCUCAAUUUUCUUUCUUGAUAGCAGACAAAAUUCAAGAACAAAGACAGAACAAUAUUAUAAAAUGAGAGCAAAAUAUAGCUUUUUUGUGUACAGAAUAUUUCUAUCCCUAUAACGGAUGAUAAUCUUUUUAUUUAUAGCUCUAUUCAGUGAGACAAGAUCCCCAAAUUAAGUUUUUCUUGAAUGAGAAUAAAACUGUCAUUAAUGGAUGCAUAAUGAUUGGUUAUAAAUGCAGAUAUUCUUUGCAACUGCUGCUCAUUGAAUAAUAUUCGAUGACAAUGCUUUGAAUCUUCGUUACUGGCUACUCUAUCUUCGGAAUUCGUUCAACAUCGAUUGCAUGCUUACAUCCGGUGAUGAUUGUUUGCUGACUCAUGUGCCACCUGUAUUUAGUUCUACGUGUCACUUUGUCAUUCAUCCAACUGUCAUUAACCUAUUUUACCCCAUACAGAUACUCCCCUUACUUUUCGGUAACACAACUUAGUGUUACCGGAAAGUAGAUAAGAAUUCUUUUCUUGGCGAAAAAAUUCCUGAACGGUCUCUGACACUUGAAAGGGCACAUGUCUUCUCGCAUUUAAUGACCCAAACAUGUGUUGCUCCAUGAUUCAGCAAAUAUUUUCACUGGUUUUCGAGGUACUCAUGACUAAGAUUUUUGUUAUCUAUAACUUCUCCCCUACUCAUCAUUUUUACUCUUUACUUUCACAACUCCCUCUUCUUCCUUGAUUCUCCUUAGAACCAUUCUGUGACAUUCAACUUUCUUAGUAAAACUUUUCUUCAAACAUAUCUUCAAGCAUUACCAUCCUCGGAAACUCUGGCCUUUUCUUCAAAAGACCCCCAAAGAAAACAAAAACAAAGGAAGUUGAAGCUGAAUCUGAACCUCCCACCCUGAACUCCAUCAUACCUCUUAAACUUAAUACGAAAUCAGACCUUCAAUAACAGAAAGCACCUUCAAAUUCUAAAAGUGAUAGGUUCUGGCCUAUUCGGAGGAACCCUUCUUCCAUUCGUCCUCCUAGUGUCCUUGUCAUGAAGGAGGAAUGCCAUUGGAACAAGGUUGAAAUCCUCACCCCCAAAAAAGGUAGAAAGAGUUACCUUCUCCAAGCCAGGUUUCAUAUAUUUUUACACAUACCCUUUCACUUUGGGCCAUUUAACUUUGAGAAUGGGUGAAGGAACUGACCCAAUAAUCUUAGAGUUAUCCCAUCGAUACCAAGUAUGUUUGGCAUAAGUAGGCCUAUCUGUGUGGCGUACGGUGGUUUGCCACCACCAAUGGUGUUAUGAGACCGAGGAAACCCUAACUCUCGUACAUAUAAUGAACCUCUACUCCAAAAAGAUUUUUCGUGAGGGUAUGCUAAAUCUUAGAAAAUGCGGUGAUCAUGCUCUUCUUACUAGCAUUGACAACGACACUAACCGUGGAUGGAUGGAACAGUUUGUUAUUAUCGCUACCAGGGAUAUCAUCCUAACCACAAUACCAGCUUUUCCCAAAUCAUGAAAUCUUUUUCGUAAGUUUUUCGGGUAUUUGCUUCCUUUCCUUGUAAAAAGAAAUCUUCUUUCUUUGCUAACUUUUUAUUUUCUUUAUUCCAGCCACUCACUAGGAGCUCCAGCGGUUCAAGAUUUGGACCGAUGGGUACAAAAAAUUCUGAAUAUCACUAUACCAGAAUUCUAAAGGUGAAAGGGAAUGACUCCCAAAUACGGGUGGAAAUCCAAAAAUCAUGAUAAAUAAAACUCUUCUUCCUUUAUUUCAACCGUUUAAUACAUUCUGCAAACAAUUUAACUACCUUAUAUUGCCAAACAGGACUUCCGAACGGAUCCAUUGUGUGCCCCGACAUCGAAGCUCUUGAUGACCCAAUGGAAGCUCAACGAGUAUUUUAGAGUGCCCUUAACCAGAGGAGGGCUCGUGAAUGUACUCGUGCCUCUACUAAAGGUGCCUCCUCCCGAAGUCUCUAGUCAAAAAAUAAGCAACCAAAAAGGAAACGUAUCUCCACGGUUGGGACUCAGGAGAAGAGAAUAAUAAAACACCAACCGGACCAACCACAAUGGUCCUUGAUGAUGAAGAAGAGGUUGAUGGUGAAGAGGCCCCCUUUCAAAAAAGAAAAAGAUCUUCAUCAAUUCAACCGGAUGCUUAGCCGGGGGAGUUUCAAACUCUACCUCCAAAGGAAGUUCAAGAACUCUGGGAGGGGGAGGGGGUGAAAUAGCAAUAUCCGAAAAUGCUACAUCUCAUUUUUGGAUUCCCACAAUUGCUUCUGCUUAAAGGAUUUGAAUUCCUGACCUUCCUCCAUUGUCAACUUUUGAGCCGAUAAUAGCUUCUUCUCCAUCCACACCAACUACUUCUUCUCCACUGACCCCAGCUGAACAAGUAGGGAAUGCCCCUUCUCCACAGUCUCCCAACCAAGAAAAUUUGAGAAAUACUUAUUUGGUACCCACUCAAGACCCUCAUGGAAAACAAAGUGCCAUUCUUUCGAUUUCGAAGGAGUGCCAUAUACUUUCCAAGACGGUGGAUCUCGCCAAUUACCUGAAGUCGUUGGGCUCAGAGAAAGAUUGGAGAAAGUAGGACACUCUUUUUGUGAAGUGUCUGAUAAACAAUAACAUGCAUUGUUCGGUGCAGGUAGCAAUCUAACUUCCUCCUAUCUUCUUUUAAUUUGCACUUCGCAUUAAUUACUUUAGGUCUAACCUUUUUCAUGUCAACCUUAUUGCUUCCAAGGGCCUGCAAAGGUUGAUUUUGGACAAGCAAGAGAUUUCUUCAGAACGAGAUCAACUUUUGGUUGAAGGAAUUAGCUUACCGGGCGCCUCUCAGUGCUGGAGGCAAAAAUUGCUCAAAUAGAUGACCUCAAGGCCCGAUUCCAGCAGUCCAAACAAGAUAGAGUGGCUCACAGCUUGGAAUCCGCCCAGCUACAUGAAAACCUUACAGACCCAAAGCCUAAAUGUGUUGAACUUCAUGAUAUUGUGACUGUUGCUGCCGAGCGCGAGUCUGUCUUUAUGGAACAAGUUAAUAACUUAGAGGCUAUCUUACGCUCCAAAAUUGAGGAGGCCAAUGCUGCCAAGGAGAAUAGGGCGAGAAUGGAGGAAAGAUUCAAAAGGACCAUGGAGCAGAAUCAACUCCAUUCAUUAACCUAUGUCGAGCUGGACUCCAAAAUCAACAUUAUUAAAGCUGAAAAUGAAAAUCUCUAAUCCAAGAUUGAAAAAUUCCGAGCUAAACUCUAAGACCAAGAGGAUCCACUCGUCUUCGAGAAAACCUACACCAUUUAUUAUACGAAGAGGAAGACCUUGGAGGAUGCUAAAGAUGGAAUUUCUAACAUUGAUGAAUAUAGUGCUAAAGCACAGGAGCUGGAUACAACUACUCACAAGAAUCUCCCUACUCGGCCCAUUACAUCUGAUUCUUUGAAUACUAACUCCGAGUAAUCGGGAACCGAGGGAGAGACUGAAAAAGAUGAAGGCCUCUAAUCGGAAGUGGAACAACCUUCUCCUAAUAAAGAAAACGAAGGCUUUUCUCUCCCUUUGGGUUCUGGCAGCAAGAACUGAUGUAGUUUUCAUUACUUCUUGUAAUUGUGACAAAACUUUCCACUAGUUUGGCAAUUUAUUUAAUAAAAGAAACCAUUUACUUAAGUAUUGUGCAAGAAAAUAUUCUUUUACAUUAACUGACAAAGUUUCAGGAAUCUUUUCACAUCCGAUAGCUUUUGAUUCCAGGCAUAAACACUUCCAGAAUCUACCUUUUACUAUGAGGGUUUCAUAAGAGAGGGCCCUCGUAUUUACGAUGACAAUGUCUCAUGUUCAUUCCGGCACAACCAUUUAAAGUUUUUGUUAACACUCAAAUGAUAAAAUAAAUUAACUUAUCAUUCAGGAAAGAAUAAUAUAAAAAUAAAAGGACUUUGAUUUAUUCCCUCUAUCUUUAAAAGUAUAUUUACAUAAACAUUCAUUUGCUUAAGUAAAUAAAGGUUCCAAUACAUGUGGCUAACUUGUACAACUUAUUUCUGUGAGGCUGAUCAUGUAGUCACCGGCCCUGAUAAGAUAUUGAUCCUGGUUCUACUGGUCCCUGUCUUUAUAACACUUUUACUGCUUUGAUAUGUAUUAUUCCCACCAAUGUUCAGAUUCUAAGUGUGAGAAUUAGAACACUGAGGUCUUGCAUUCGUCGAUGACAUAUCGUAGUAUCUUUACAUUAUUGCCUUAUUAAUAGAAAUAACUUGGGGAUGGUUAAAUAAUCUACUUCCAGAUGUUAACAAGCCAAAGAUUACUUAACCAUCCACAAGUUGUUUGCCUCACGAGUUGAUCUACAUAAAACUAUUUCUGGAAGUCCCUCAUUUGUCGACGACCCUUCCUUCAUAGUAUGCUUUAUAUUGUUGCCUCAUUAAAAACCUUGCUAGAAAAAUAUAAUUGGGAUAAAAACUGGUCGAAGAGAAAAGGAGUGUAGAGCAUACUUUUAGUACCAGCAAGGAUCUUUAGCAAUAUUACCUUUUGAGGUGGGUCAUAUUCCAAUUGCUUGGCAAUUUGACUCCAUCUUGAUCUUCCAAUUCAUACGAACAUUUACCAGUUAUAGCUGAAAUCUGAUAAGUUCUUUCCCAUGUUGGUCCCAGCUUCCCAACAUUAACGUUUCAAGUACUUUGAGUGACUUUUCUUAGGACCAAAUCCCCAACUUUGAAAUAUCAUAGAUUCUCUCUGCGGUUAAAAUACAUUUGCAUCAUUUGCUUUUGUGCCAUUAUCCUUACAUACGCCAGAUCCCCAUGCUCUUCAAGCAAAUCUAAUUUAUCCAGCAAUGAUUCAUUGUUUGCUUUUUCUUUUGCUCGGAAAAACCCUAUGUUCAGUUCCCCCACUUCCAUCGGUAUCAAAGACUUUUAAUUGUAUACAAGUGAAAAGGGUGUUUUAUACGUGCUCGACUUUGUCGUGGUCUGGUAUGCCCAUAACAUACCCGGUAGCUCAUCUGGAAACUUGACUUUAGCAUCUUCUAACUUCUUUUAAGGUUUGAAUAAUUACCUUGUUAGUCGACUCCACCUGUCCAUUAGCACUCGAGUGGUAUGGUAAAGAUGUAACUCGUUUGAUCUUCAAUCCUUCCAAAAACUUUGUCAGUUUGGAAACUAUGAAUUGUGGUCCAUUGUCACAAGUUAUUUCUAUUGGUUUUCCGAAUUGGUAAAUUAUGGUCCUAUAUAAAAUUGACCAUCUCUCAUUAUUCGAUCUUUUGGUAAGCACAUGCUUCAACUUAUUUAGUAAAAUAAUAAUUUAAAACCAAAAGAAAUUUUACCUUACCAGGUUCUAGUGGCAAGGGACCCACUAUGUCCAUCCCCCAUUUCAUAAAUGGCCACGGUGACACCACCGAAUGCAAAAGUUCUACAUAUCAAUGCACUAACUGUGCAUGACGCUGACAUUUAUCACACUUUUGUAGAAUUAUCUUUGCAUCUUGCUACAUCCGGGGUCAAUAGUAGCCAGCUCUGACUAACUUGAGAAUUAAUUAGUCUACACCAGAAUGGUUCCGGAAUACUCCUUCAUGAACUUCCAUCAUCACAUAGUCAGCCUCCGAGGCCCCUAGACACAAAUCUAGUGCCCCUUGGAACGAUCUCAUGUAUAACUGUCAAUCAAAAAGAUAGUAACGAGUCACCUUGGUCCGUAGUGCCAAGGAUUCUUUUGGGUCUUCUAGAAAUUUGCCAUGUCUUAGAUAUUCAAUGAACUCGUUCCUCCGGUCCCAUAUUAAGUUGGUUGAAUUAAUUUCACAGUAGCUGUCCACGCCCAACACCGAAUAUAGUAAUUGAACGAAUAUACCAGAAUCAGAUCCUUCCAUCUCUGUGGAUGAACCCAAAUUGGCCAAUGCGUCUGCCUUCAAAUUUUCCUCCCUUGGAAUGUGGACGAUUGACCACUCUGUGAAUCGUGUAAGUAAUGGUUGAACCUUGUUCAAGUUCUGUUGCAUGCGCUACUCCUUGGUGUCGAAAAUUCUAUACACUUGGUUUACCACCAACUGGAAUCGCAUUUUAUCUCGAUGACCUUGGAACCUAGUCCCCGAGCUAGUUCAAGUUCUGCAACCAAAGCCUCGUACUCGGCUUUAUUGUUAGUUAAUGGUAAAAUUCUAUUGGCCUUCCUUAGGGUUUCCCCCAAAUGAGUGAUUAAAAUUACACCAAAACCGGACCCUUUUACGUUGGAGGCUCCAUUUGUAAACAAGAUCAGACUCUCUAUACCAUUCCCGAUACCAACAAUGCUUCUUUAGCAGUAAAGGCAUUAAUUCCGAACUGAAAUCAGUCACGAAGUCGGCCUAAACUUGUUACUUAAUUGCAGUCUUGGGCUUGUAUUCAAUAUAGAAUUCACUAACUUCGACCACCUACUUAGCCAAAUGACCUGACAACUCAGGCUUAUGAAGGACAUUCCUUAACGAAAAGGUUGUCACAAUGGCUAUUAGAUGACAUUAAAAAUAUGGUCUAAGCUUCUAAGAGGCAACUACGAGAGCUAAGGCCAGCUUUUCAAGGUGCGGAUAACGUGUAUCCGCUCCUGAUAAUAUUUUACUAAUAUAAUAAAUGGGAAAUUGCAUACCAUCUUCUUCCCGGACCAAAACGGCACUUACCACUACUUUUGAGACCGCUAGAUAAAUCAAUAGUUGCUCACCUUCUCCUAAUUUCUACAACAACGGAGGGCUAGAUAGGUACCUUUUUAGGUCUUUAAGUGCAUAUUGGUAUUCCGGAGUCCAUACGAUGUCAUUCUUUUUUUUCAAAAGCAAAAAAAAAAUGAUGGAACUUUUACGAAGACCUCGAGAUGAACCUUCUUAGAGAUACCAAUCUACCGGUCAACAUCUUUAUUCCUUCACGCCUGUCAGCUGGUCUGGGAUAUUCUCGAUGGAUUUGAUUUUAUUGGGGUUUACCUUAAUUCCUCUUUGAGAGACCAAAAACCCCAGGAACUUAUCGGAACCCACUCCGAAGGCAUAUUUCUUCAGGUUGAGAUUCAUGUUGUACUUUUUCAGAAUGUCAAACGUCCCUUAGAGAUGUUCCAGUUGAUCUCCUGCAUAAAGAGACUUAACUAGCAUGUCGUCGAUAUAAGCUUCCAUCGUCUUACCUAUCUAUUUUUUAAAUAUCUUAUUAGCGAGCCUCUAAUAAGUGGCUCCCGUAUUUUUAAUCCCACAAGGCAUCACAUUAUAGCAAUAUGUGGUAAAGUUUGUGAUGAAAGAAUUCUUCUUUUAAUUUUCUGGGUCCAUCGUAAUUUGAUAAUACCCGAAAUAAGCAUCAAGAAAACUCAUCAACUCGUGCCUGGCUGCAGCAUUGAUCAUUUGAUCAAUGUUCGGCAAUAGGAAAAAGUCUUUGGGGCACACUUUAUUUAAAUUCUUAUCAUCUACACACAUCCUAAAUUUUCUAUUCUUUUUAGGCACUACUACGUUAGCUAUCCACUUCGAGUACUUUACCUCUCGAAUUGAACUGAUGUUAAGUAAUCGGGUUACCUCUUCCUUAACAAACCUGUUUUUGACCUUUGCUAUCAAUUGUUUCUUCUGCCUUACCGGGGGGAAGUUUGGAUCCAGACUAAGUUUGGAGACCUCCAAAUCCAAUGGAAAAUUUGUCAUAUCUGAAUGCAACCAUGAAAAGCAAUCAACGUUAGAUUUAAAAAAAUCUAUAAGUUUCAACCUGAGUUCGGGACUCAACCCCGUUCCUAAAUGAAAUUUUCUUUCCAGAAAUUCUUCAAACAAAGCCACUUGUUUGAGCUCUUCUGCGGUUAACUUGGUUGCAUCCAUCUUUUCUGGUACCUGAAAAGACCUUGGUGCCUGAUAUAAUUCUGAUGACUUCUCGUUUUUAUCAUCUACAAUUGGGAUGGGAGAAGGCAUUGGUUCCUGUAGUUGCUAUUUGCUGGUUUCUUUGCCCUUGCUGCUGGAAAUGGUUACUGUGUUCAUCUCCCUUACAGCAGAUUGAUCUCCUCUGAUCUGCUUGAUCCCUUCUAGUGUUGGAAACUUUAACAGUUAAUGGUAUGUGAAGGUACGACCUUCAUUUUGAUGUAUCCACGGUCUUCCAAAGAUUAUAUUAUAGACCAUGUCGCCAUUUACCACUUCAAACAGGGUGGUCUUUGCUACACCUUCAGCAUGUGUGGGCAGAAAAAUUUCUCCUCGGGUUGUUAUACUUGUUAUGUUGAAGCCAGCUAAAAGCUUUGUUGAUGGAAUGAUAUUCCCAGUUAACUUUGCUUCUCUCCAUUGUAUGAUAUUGGUUGAACUUCCUGGAUCAACCAAAAUACGCUUAAUACUAAAAUCUAAAAUAUUAAAAGAAAUUACCAAAGCAUCAUUUUGCGGUAGGAUAAGUCCAUCGGCAUCUUCCAUCGUGAAGGUGAUGUCAUCUUUUGAGACUUCUCGGAUCCUCUUGCCAUGAGUCACUGAUAUAUUCGUCUUAUUUGCUGGCAAAAAUGUCACCCCAUUUACUUUGUCUCCUCUGAAGAUCAUGUUGAUUGUCAUUCGAGGUGACCCUUCUGCUGGUUUUAAUGGUUAUGUAAUAUCCCUAUUUCUCUUAGAGUUGUUUUUGGUGCGAUCGCUUAACAAUUCCCCGAGGUGACCAUUCUUUAACAAUAUUUCCACCUCUUCAUGAAGAUGUCGGCAGUCCCCAGUCCUAUUAUCGUGAGUCCCAUAGAAUUCACACCAUAGAUUAGGAUCCCUUUGGCUAGGAUCCGAUCAGAUCGAUUUUGGGAACCUAAAUUCUUUAAUAUUUCUCAUGGGCGACACUAGUUCCACUAGGGUGAUACUAAAAUUGUAAUUAAACAACCGGGGAUACGCUGAAUCUUAGGAUCAUGGCACCUUUUUCUCCUACAACAAUCUGUUACUCCGGCCAUGAUCCAUCCUUCUAUCGCAAAUAAACCUAUUCGAUGACUGGAAUCCUUUAUUAUCGUGCCCUUCGGCCUUCUCAUAAGGCUGAAAAUGACUUCUAGAGUGUAUUCGAUCUAUAUCAAAAUCAUUUUUAAACUUAUCUUGAUUUCAAUCACGAUUCCGUCCUUUGGAAGACACCGUGGAACCAAGUCGACCAUCUUCACUUCUGAUCUUUGACUCAUAGAGAUAUUAAACAUCUGCCCAUAUGGUUGCCUGAAUUUCGAGCAAGCUCUCCUGCAAUUUUUGUGAGUUAUCGGAGCUUAAUAGGUUGAGACCCUUUGUAAAUGCCUCCGUUGCCCACUCAUCUUGAACCGCAGAUAACAACAUCAUUUCUUUCCGGAACCAGAUCACAAACUCUCUUAACAAUUUAGCUUUUCUUUAAGAUAUCAUGAAUAUAUCCACCUUCCUUGCUUGGACCUUUCUUGCUCCAGCAUUAUCUUUGAUAAACGAAUCUACAAGCAUUUCAAAAGGGUCAAUAGAAUGUUUUGAUAAGAGGGAAUACCAGGCUAAGUCACCAUUCGUAAGGGUUUCACCAAACUUCUUCAACAAAACCGAUUCGAUGUAAUGCUGGGCCAAGUUGUUUUCCUUUACUGUCGUAGUGUAGGUCAUAUCAUGAUGUGCUCCUGUGGAUCCGAAGUCACAUCAUAUUUUGGUAUAUCCAACAUCUUAAACCUCUUUGGGAUUAACUUCGAUGCAGCACAUAGUUUAAACAGCAACUACAUAUACUUCUUUAAAUCUGAUCCUUUUAACAUCGGCGGCACCCCCGUGAUAUGAUCCAUCAGAGCGAAAUUCCUUUGCAUUCUAAUCCAUUCAUUCAUUCAUUUCUCUCAUUAAUCUUAUGAGCUCGGUUUUGAAAGGGUUAUUUAAAUUGUUGUUCGCAAAUUCACUACCGGUACCUCUGGCCUCGUCGAAAUUGACCUCCUCUCUUGGUGUGUCGUUAUCAGUUCCUUGAGUCGUUUGCUUUACGAGAAUGCUGGGAGGAAUCGGGGCCCUUCCAUUAGCAUUAUUAGAAGCUCCCCAUACUACAUGUUUCAAUUUUGUCAUCACCCAAUCUUGCCUUGAGAGGCGAUCCAUAAUUGCCUUUUUCUAUUCCCUCAAGAUUUUGACUAUUUCAACAACGUGCUCAUCCUUUGCAUCAUCAAGAGUUGGGCCCCGCACAUGUCGAGGAUACAGACCUUCGCGAACUAGGUUGUUUCAUCCCCUUCGUUGUGGGGCUCACUGAUUGAAUCAUCACGCGUGAACACAUCUUCUUGUUGACCGUGUACUCCAACAUUUUAAACAAUAUUGACAUCAUUAGCUGUCAUACCUUAUCUUUCUUUUUCUAAGGAAGGAAUCAAAAUUUGUCAGUAAUAGAUAAAUAGAUCAAAGCAAUUACACAAUUGUCAAUGCCCCACAGUGGACGCCAAACUGUUUACCCAUAAAAUGAUAUAGUUAGAUUUGUAACGUAGUUUAUAGACAAAUAAAUCGAUUUGGUCCUAAAGUACGAAAACAAUAAUAACCGAAACAAGAAUACGAAAUAAAACUAAUGGAAACACAAGCCCGAGUAUGAAUUUAGCCUUUCCAAUGGCAAAAAGAGAACAUUAUUCAAGAACAAAGACUGAGAACAAUAUUAUAAAAUGGGAGCAGAAUAUAGCUUUUUUGUGUACAAAAUAUUUCCACCCCUACAAUGGAUGCUAAUCCUCCUACUUACAGCUCUGUUCUGGGAGACAAGAUCCUCAAAUCAAGUUCCUCUUGAAUGAGAAUAAAACCGUCAUUGAUGGCUGCAUAAUUGUUGGCUAUAAAUGCAUAUAUUCUUUGUAACAGUUGCUCGUUGAAUGUUAUCUAAUGAAAAUGCUUUGAAUCUUCAUUAUUAAUUGGCUACUCCGUCUUCGAGAUUCAUUCAGUAUCGAUUGCAUGAUUACAUCUGGUGCCAGCUGUUUGCUGACUCACGUCCCAUCUAUCUUUUGUUCCAUGCGUCACUUCGUCAUUCGCCCAACUAUCAUUAACCGAUUUUGCCCCAUACAGGUGUAGCUUUGAUUAUCGACACACAAGUUGAGGCUGACUCCAGUAUAUUGAGGCCAAAGGCACAGACAUAUAUAGGACUAGGACUAAACCGUGUAUUUCCGAGAAAAACUUAUAUACAUACGAUACCUAAUUCAAAACAUAGGAAAAUGGUAAUUUGUUUAGUCUUUUUCCCGUUCUUUUCCCUUUUUGAAUGAUUUUAGAAGUUUAAUUGUAUUCUAAAGACUAAACAUCAAUCCUCCCACGAUACUUGAGUUUUGAAGGUUACGUGGGUGGCAUACAUAAGUUCGUUGCUCAUUCUUCAAUUGUCAUUAUCUUUUUUUGUUGUUUCUAUCGUCACUUCCUUUUCUUUGUUGCAUUAUAGUGUUUGAUCUAAUUCUUAAUGUUAGCUAGAAAAAAUGGACAGCAAUGAGGUGUUAUAUAUAUNNNNNNNNNNNNNNNNNNNNNNNNUAUAUUAGUUAGUUAAAGCGGUUAAUGAAAAAAAAAGUUUGAUAUCACUAAACAACUCAAUAAAUGAAUAUGCAUGCGAGUCAUCUAUCAUAUCCGUAUAACAAUUAAGCAUUGGUUGAUUUUCGCCACUUGGAAUUAAAAAUUUACGUAACAAACUUCCUUCAUGCAAAGAGGUGUGAACAUUGGAUUAGAACUCGUACACACUGGACAAACAAAUUAGUCCCCACAUCAACUAACUCAAGUUCCAAACUCAUAGGCUAGCUAGUUAUAACCAACACUUAUAAAUACCACUCAAUAUUAACAAGAGAAAACAUCCCAACAGCACCCAAGUAUCUUGUACUACUACUUUUUCAAAACUCAUCUGCCAUCACUUUUAUUACCAAAAUGGCUGAAGAGAAGAAGCACCACUUCGGUCUCUUCCACCACAAGGACAAGGAGGAAGACAAAACUACCUAUGGAGAAACUCCAUAUGGUGGUGAUACUGAAAAAACUACCUAUGGAGAGAAUACAUAUGAAGAGAAAACUAGUUAUGGUGGGGGAGAUAACUAUGGGGAUAACAAAUAUGGUGAGAAAACUGGCUAUGGAGAAAGUGGAUAUGGAGAGAAAACUAGUUAUGGUGAGGGAGGUAACUAUGGAGAUAGUGGCUAUGAAAAUAAGACUAGCUAUGGAGAUAGUGGCUAUGAAAAUAAGACUAGUUAUGGAGAUAGCGGCUAUGAAAACAAGACUGGCUAUGGAGAUAUUCCAUCUGAUACUACCUAUGGAGAGAAAACUAAUUAUGGUGAAGGAGAUACCUAUGGAAAAGGAGCUGCCUACUCAUCUGAGACCACUAAUUUUGAAGAGACUACUGAUGAAGGCAAAACUGGUGAGGAUUAUGAGAAAGAGAAAAAGCACCACAAGCAUCUUGAACACGUGGGAGGGCUUGGGGCUGCUGCUGCUGGUGCCUUUGCCUUGGUAAUUUUUCACACAAUGUUUUAUGUUACAGUUUUAACUUUUAUAUCCUUGUGGUCCAGUCCUUCCCCGGACCCCGCGCAUAACGGAAACUCAGUGCAUCGGACUGCCUUUAUUGUCGUAUCAGUAAAGUUACAAAAUUAUGUUAAUUAAAGUCAUUGAACUUUACCUAUUGUAUCAGCUAAGUCACAAAAUUAUUUGUUGUCUCAUAAAAGUCAUUGACAAUUUGUUAGUUGUCUAGAAAAUACAAUUCACUAGAAAGUCAAAUUUUUUAAUAAAAAUUGAUAUUAGUAGCCAAGAGAAUAAGAGAAACUACUACUCUUUCCGUCUCACUUCAUGUGAAGGUGUUUGACUGGACAUGAAAUUUAAGAAAUAAAGAAAAAAAUUUGAAACUUGUGGUUUAAAAUAAUUUAUAGAAAUUUAUUUGGCUAAAAAUUAUCUCAUUAAGGGUAAAAGAAAAAAUUUAAAAUUAAGUUGUUACUAAAUAUAGAAAUGUGUCAUUUUUUUAUGAGUGAGUAAGAAGAAAAGAGUGUCACAUCAAAUUGAUUAAAAUAGACUCAUAGUCAAAUAUUAUGGGUCAAUUUGAAGAAAAUUUUGAUUUUUACUCUAGAUAUUGUAAAAAGAAUUUACACUAUCAAUCAUUCAUCUAGAAAGAUUAAUAGAGUUGUUAACUAUUCCUUUUUGUUUCUUCCAUAUUUUGGUAUGAAAAUUUCAGCAUGAGAAGCACAAGGCAGAGAAAGAUCCAGAACAUGCACACAAACACAAGAUAGAAGAAGAAAUAGCAGCAGCAGCUGCAGUUGGGGCAGGUGGAUUUGCAUUUCAUGAGCACCAUGAAAAGAAGGAAGCCAAGGAAGAAGAAGGGGAAGUUGAGGGAGAGAAGAAACAUCAUUUCUUCUAAUUUUCUCAUAAUAUAUAUUUACCUCUCUUUAAUUUGUUUUCUUCUAAAAUAUAAGUUAUGAGCUUCGUGUGCUUGCUCUAUCCUCUAAUACUGAGCACCUAAAUAAUCCGUGUGUGUGUGUGAGUCUUCCCUUUGAUGUAAGGGUUUUACUUCUAUAUCUUGGUGGGGUUUAAUUAUGUCAUGCACAUGUUGUUCACU
Molecule: long non-coding RNA, 64115 nt
Filed under: Nicotiana tabacum (common tobacco)
Lineage: Eukaryota; Viridiplantae; Streptophyta; Magnoliopsida; Solanales; Solanaceae
Description: long non-coding RNA (NTAB_LNC004242)
Source: RNAcentral